GGGGCGGGGACAUUGUUGUCGAGCACCUCCUCCUCUUUGGACACGCGGCCGUCACGGCGGCCCGACGGGACCUUGUAGUCCAGGCCGCCGGCGAGGUAGGUGCUGUCACGGGCCGCGAACGCGACGAUGUCGGCGCAGGAGACGGUGCGCGGGCAGUGCGCCUCGAGGACGGCCUUGGCGUCGUCGAUGACGUCGAAGCCGCGCAUGCUGGGGUUGUUGGCCACGGAGUCCUUCUCGGCCAGGUUGCCCGGCGUGGAGUUGAUGAGGAUGGAGCCGUCGCAGCCCCGGACGAAGCAGUCGUGGAAGUGCAUCCGGAUGAGCCCCGCGCCGACGCCGGGCUCACGGGCGAUGCCGCGGCGGACGGCGUUGCGCACGAUGUCCUCGGCCUGUGCGCAUGAGUGCUCGUAGAAACCGACCUCAAGUUUCCCCGGCGAGGCGUGUACGUGUGCCGCUGAUGAGGAGACGACGACGAGCGCCGACAAGGCAAAUGCCAACCAAGUGGACCUCAUGACGAAGGUGAACAAUUGGUCGAUCAGAUGCUGCUCUCUCACUCUGAGCUUUCUAUCUGCUUUAGCUCUGGAGCUCGAUCGAGAUGGUGACGAGGAGAGGAGAUGAAGAGCUGCUUUAGAUGUUACUCUCUAUUUAUACAAUGUGCUUGGAACCGUGUUUGUGAACCGGGUCAACGAAUAAUAAGCAAGACCCAAUAUAAUCCCUGCAUCGCGAUAACAAUCGAGUAACAACUGCUACAAGAACCGUGUCAGUGGACUUUGUAGUACAUAUAUGUCAGCAUGUACCUAAUAAUGUUGCCCAGACUUGGUUGUAGCAGCAAAUGAUAAGCAAAGCAGACAGUUGUUUAGAGAUCGAAAUUGAUGUUAGUUGCUUGAUCAGAGAAUUCAUGAAGACACAUACAGUUAAUUUUUUUAUUGACAUGGUCGAUGCCCCUAUCGCAUGACCAGGACAAAUCCAAGCCUUGUCCAAAAUGGAUUGUGUCAUCACUAAGGCAAGGUCCAACCGGAGCCUACGACGUGGCCUCAGUGCCUAGGAUGGAAAUGAGCAUAAACCAGAACAUAACAGAUCAAUAGCCAUCAAAACACAGGACAUAGGGUAUUAUCGCACAACGAGAGCAUGAACCACCCUAACCUAUAUAAAUUCACCCUCGGGAAAUCCUUGACAAAGGGUUUUCAAGCCCAACCUACAAAAGCAUUUGAGCAACAGGAGUUUACUAAGAAAGGCAAGUGUUUUCUUGAUCUCGUUCUUUUACCUAAUAAUAUUUAUUAUUAUGUCCUCACCUAUGCAUUGCAGUUAGGUUAACCCGACGGGACCUAAUAGGUUACCUAACUUUGUUUUCCCUGUGCCUUGUGUACCCCUAAGUUACUAAUUAUUGGGUAGACAUUCUUGUGCUCAACUUCGUUUUUGGGAAUAAUGAUACUUAUGAAUCAUGGUCAUAUUUUAUUAUGAUUUAUUAUUGUUGGUUUAUUUAUUAUGCAGGAUAAGGCCACCGUGUUUAAUUGGAACAUGGAGAACCAACCGAGAAAACAAUGUGACCACAAUUACUUUUAUGGCUCUGGUCUUAGCUAAUUGAUUACGAAAGUUGGUGUGUAAGAACCUUCCUCGACAUGGGCAAGCAGGGAGGAGUUGCUCAAGUAUAGGGAGGUUCUUAGGUUGAUCUGCUUUGUGGAAGCUUUUCAGACGAGGGGUUCAUAUACCACCUCUAUUUGAAACCGUAGCGGGUUUUCUCAUGCUAGUGGAAAUUUACAAAGUCCUUGUAGUGAAUCCUGCCUCACCUCCAAAGAAGAGAUUUAUGUGAGUAUUGAGCCCUUGGCAAAUGGGUAACAUGACUAUGGGUUAAGAUGUGCAACCUCUGCAAAGUGUAAAACUAAUAUAUCAGUCGUGCUCACGGUCACAAGCGGCUCGGACCCUCACAUGAUUAAAUUAUAAAAUUAAAAUAAAUCAGACGUGCAUUUUAUUAGGGGUGAAAAUAGGUCGGGUACAUCUAUCGGGUACUGAAUACUUUACUAUUUUCAUAUGGGGACUUAAGGUUAUCUUCAUGUGGGGACUUAAAGUUAUCUUUUUAUAGACUAUUUGUUGUUCUUGGUAACUUAUUUGUAAUUUUUGGCCGACAUUAAAAUAUUUUAUGAAUUUAAUUGUAUUAUGAUGAUUUUCUAUAAAAAAGGAAUUAAUAUUACACAAAUAGCCUAAAAAUUAUGAAAUUUUGUGGAGGCCCAACAUAUGUUCAUAUAUGAUCAUAAAAAAUAUUUGGUAUAUAAAAUUCAUAAGAUGUCAACGUUUCUUCCAUUUCAGUUACAAUUAUUGCGUGAGUUACACGUGAAAUCAUUCUUGAAAGGGAAAUAGGGUUAACCAUUUUCUAUAAUCAAUUUUGGUGGUUGAUGUAUAACAUAAAUCAUAUGGACUAACUAGUUUGUAUAGAUAUCAUUCAUCACAGGUGCAUAAGGUUCAACACAAACCAAGAAACAAAUACAGUUAAGGACUUAAUCAAAAAUUGGAGCAAGACUUAGAGUGUGCUGAUUUUUGGCGCACCGGACAGUGUCCGCCAAGCCAGCCAUCAUCCAAAAUAGCCACUCUCGGGUUUCUGUUGGGCAUGCUCCACUACAAUUCACCGGACUGUCUGGUGCACCAGCGGAUUAACGACUCCCUGCGCGCCAACGAUCGUUUCGUCAGAUGAACAGUGAUGAACAGUGUCACGAUAGAAGUCAGAGUGCAGAAGUCAGAGGUCACCGGACUGUCCGGUGCAGCAAGACGACAAGGCGCUCCAACGGUCAACUGCUCCAAACCCUAAUGGACACGCUGACGUGGCGCGCACCGGACAGUGAACAGUGACUGUCCAGUGCGCGCACCGGACUGUCCGGUGCAUCCGUCGCCAGCAGACUUCACCAAUGGCUAGGAAGUGAUUGAGGGCUAUAAAUACCCCCCAACCACCUCAUUCAAAGCCAUCUCUGCCUUGUUGUUGAAUUCCCUACCAUCCCAGUCUACUGCAUCGGGGGCGACAGCGUAGUGGUCGAAGGUGUAGACUGGGCCCGUCACUCUGGCGUAAUCAACCAGUCCAAGGAAGUGUUCCCUGCAUAGAAGGCCGAGGAUGCCAUUGGGGUUGUGACCAUGACCCCCUGCAUUCUCCACAACCUUCCAAGACCUGUCCAAGUGAUAAAAAAGUAUUAGUUUAUAUUAUGAAUUUGAGCACAUAAUAUGAUCAAGCAGCGAAAACAUCAAGUUACAUGACUCUCCCCAUCCGGCCGAAUCAGCGGCCACCUGUCUUGAAGUAUGGGACGCUGAAGGAGACUCGCGGGACCUUGCAGGUAGACGUUCUUUGAACCUGAGGCGCUAGAACCUGAGGCGUCCUGCUGACCGUUGUCGUCGUCCUGCUACGCCGCGUCAACAGCGGCUGCUCCACCUACUGCUGGACGUCGUCGUCCUGCUGUGCUUCCUCCGCCGUCCUACGAGUGCUCCUCCUCCCCAUCCUUGUCCUCAUCCCACUGCCCACCAUCUUUGUCCAACAAUCUGCAAUUAAGAGUAAGCAAAUAAGCACAUAUAAAAAACAUGUAUUUAGAAACAAGUGCGAAAUAACAAAUAAUAUAGCAUUACAUCGAUUAAAAAUAAUCUUCAUAUGUGUCGGGGUUAGCCAAAUCAUAAGUCAUAUCAUCACUAUCAACCAUUUCAUAGUAAACACCAUCUGAAGGCGCAAGUUCGUCAUUAAUGUCAUUGUCUUCAAGUAUUACUAAGUCAUUCUCAUUUUGGACCUCAUCAUCCUCCUCCUCAAAAACCAUUUCAAUAUCUACUUUCAUUCCGAUAGCUUCGGUUAAGUCUAUCUCAAAUCGCCCUUCUAGCCCAUCUUCUUGGAAGAACUCUCCAUCAUAUGUGUCAGGGUCUAAGUUAUAAUCUUCAUCGUUUGGAACAGGUAAUUUACUGUGCGACGAUGCCUUAUACACAACAUCCCAACCCUUAAGAUGUUCUUUUGUUUAGCACGCAUAUGAGAGAUAAUACACUCGGGUUAGUUGCAUACCCGUCAUGGAACAUCAACAUCUUGAUCCACUGUAGUACUUCCUUCCUUUGGGCCCUGCUGAGGAUGAAAUCGGCCUUAGGCCUUCUCCAUGUCUUUCCACCACUAGGUGGCUUCAUCUCUUGGUUUGGUCUAUCAUAUAACGUUGCCAGAUCCACUCUUGCCUUUAUAUUAUCCUUUGACUUAUCAGGAAUGUCCAUAAUUGUUGCCGAAAGUGCCUCGGUGACAUUCUUUUCAGUGUGCAUCACGUCAAUGUUGUGUGGAAGUAGCAAGUCGUCAUAAUAGGGGAGUGGAGUCAAGCCCGACUUAUGUGUCCACAUAUGCUGCUCACCAUAUCCCACAAAACCACCAUCUGGAUUGGCCACGAGCUCAUCUAUCUAUUGACGAAUUUAGGCACUAGUCAUCAUUGUAGGUGGGUAAUCUGUCACUACGACACCUUUCAUAAAGUUCUUGAUGUCUAGGUGGAAUGGAUGGUCAGGAGGGAGAAAUUGUCGAUGUUUAUCGAACGAUGGAUAUUUGCCACCCUUCUUCAACCAAAUGAACCUAAGAGCUUCCUUGCAAACUGGGCAUGGGAACUUACCAUGAACACACCAGGUGCAGAAUAGCCCAUAAUCCAGUAAGUCAUGCAUGGAGUACUGGUACCAAACAUGCAUUUUGAAGUUUGUCUUCGUUGCUCGGUCAUACGUUUAUACCCCUUCUUCCCAAGCAUGUAUCAAUUCAUCAAUCAAAGGCUCCAUGUACACGCCCAUUUUAUUCCCUGGGUGUUUGGGAAUUAUCCACGACACGAAUAUGUUCUGUUUUUGAAAGCAUACAUCGGGAGUAGAUUGAUUGGGACAACAAACACGGUACAACAUGUGUAUGGGGCAGUGCUCAUUCCAUAAGGAUUGAACCCAUCUGUGGCCAGCGCAACACGUACAUUACGAGCCUCUUCGGCUUUUUCACGGUGAAUAGCAUCAAAAUGUUUUCGUGCUUCACCAUCGAAUGUGUGCACCAUCUUGUCAGGAUUGUAUCGUUUGCCAUUUUUGUGUCAAGUCAUCUGUUUCGCGGAUUCCUCGGUCAUUGUCACACCCGGAUUUAAGGGACAAAACUGGGUGCAUCUCAUACAUGCGCCAAAGAAGACAACAUAUAUAAUAACAGAGUGUAUAAAGAUAAAUGUCACAAUAAUCAGAGUAUUUAUUACAUAGCGGAAGUCUUACAAAAUAAAAGAUAAAUAUAAAAGGAUCUAAAAUCCAUCCUUGGCGCCAGAAAGUGAACUGGGAGAUGCCACCUAGAUCGAAUCGAACUCCUCGAUGUGUGGCUCCACUUGAACCACCUGUUCUUCUCCUGUGGGGGGGUGUGAGACAGCAAGGGUGAGCUCAAACAUGUUCAUCGCUCAACAAGUUGUGGGGAAUAAUGUGCAUGAACUCGCCAAGGUGGGAGCUCAUGAAGUGUAAGGCUGAUCAACAAUAGGGGUUAAAGCUGAGCAUUGCUUUUAAUAAGUUGGUCAAAUUUUAUAGCAAUUACUAAAUGUAAGUAAAUACGAAACCAUAAUAAAUAAUCAAACAAAAUUAAUACAAAUCCCAUGCAAUGCAAAUGACAAAUUGAGUUUAGGUUCCAUAAUUUAAUCAUGCGAGAGUCCUGAGCUGCUCUUGACCGUGAGCUCGGCUAGUAUACCAGUUUUACACUCUGCAGAGGUUGUACCCUUUACCCACAAGUCGUGUUUCCCAUGUCGCCAGGGUUUACAAGGCCCUUAGACACUAUCGAGAUGAAUGGCUAGGGAUCCACUACGAGGCCUUUACAAAGUUCCACUAGCUUCCGGAAACCCGCUACAGUUAUGGGAAGAGCACUUGCAAGAAUCCCCCGUCUAACCGCCAUCGCAGCAAAAUCAACCCGAGAACCUCCUUGCAUGCAACUCCCCUACUGCUUUUGCCCCUUUCAGGUAAGGUAAUCUUCCACUAGAUUUCCUAAUUAGUUAGCCAAGGGGUCCCAUUCCUCCCUUGUGGUGGCACACGUUUCUCAAGUUAAGCUCCAUGUUCCAAUUAACAAUAAUAUAAUGAUCUUAACAUGAACAUAAAUAGCAUAACAGAAUAAUUAGAACAUGGAUAUAAUGAAAUAUUAAUCCCAAAACCAUAUAGAGCAAUAGCAAAACUACCCAAAUGAUUCAGGGAUAAAACAAGGUAAAAAUGAUAACCAGACUAGGGUGACCUAUUGGGUCCCAUCAAAAUUAAACCAUUCAAUAGUGAUAAUAAAGAAUAUUAUUGGGUAACAAAAGUGGAUCAAGGGCACAACUUGCCUGGGACUUGAGAUUCUAGGUACCAACUUGCUCUUCAAGUAACUUGUAACCUCGCUGUUAGUCGUAGCAAUACAAACAAAUAUGGUAUAGACAAAAUUAACAUCACACCAGACAUAAGAACAAAAUAAUAAUCUACGCAAUGCAACGAGGUUGUGGGAACGAGAACUACUAAAGUCGGAGUUACGGUUAAGGAGUUAUGAUUUUAUAGAGGAUUUAUGUGAUUAAAAUAUCAAACUAUAUUAUAAAUUGGUUGGUACAUACCAUAUAAGAUAUUAUUCCAUAAAUAAUUAAUUCAACUUAAAUUUUAAUCAUAACUUGGCUAGAGAUCAUGCUUUAAUCCUAUUAUAAUUAUGGACAUGUUAAAUUUGAUUCAGAAGAGGUAUUCUAGUAGACAUAGGUUAAAUAAUAUCAAACUAUAAAAUUAUGAAACAUGGUAUUAUUAAUACUGUUACUGUGUAGGUAAUAUUUAUAUGAAUCUAAUGCAACUUGAACGAGUCAAUUCAGAGUUAAAAUGGAGGAGUUCUGAAUUUCCUAAGGUUUUAUGUAUUUGAUAUAAGAUUAAUUAGGAAAUAAAUUUUAAAGUGGCUUUCAUGUUAAAACAAUCAGAAUGAAUUAAUUUGGACUAAGUAUGCAUUUUCUAUGCAUUAAACAAAUUCUAGCAUUCAUUUUUCUUUAAAAAUCAUUUUCUAAUUCCUUUUUCUAGAUUUUAUAAUUCUCUGGACUGGGCCUCAAUUACAGGAAAGUCCAGGGGUUAAUGCGCGAAAAGUCCCAAGACACAGAUCUACCCCGCGGUGGAUGGCGGGUUAAAUAACCAAGACUCCGAGGGCUCAUUUGCAUUUAUUCCUGGCCGAAGGGGUAUCGGCCGCUCUCAUACGUCCGAUCAUCCGCGAACGAUCCAGAUUAUAUUUCCUAUAAAGCGAAACCGGUAUGUCAUACGAGCCGUUAGAUGCCAGAUCCACGGCCCACAUGAGCGCACACUCUUUUACCCCCUUUCCCCUUGGAUCAUUAAUCAACAGUCUAGAUUGGUCGGAUCGAAAUGUUACGCUCAAGCGAUCCCAACCGUUCACCAGGGAUGGACGGCGCACACAUCAUCUUCCUCCACUGGUUCCAUCGCAAUUUUCUCCCCAGCCAACCCUUCGUGGUCGAGCGCCAUAGUCAUGGCAGCAUGCUGGUCAGUGCUCGCCAUCCGAGCCCGAAAUACAGCCCGGACGCCACUACUCAAAUCUUACACGGCCACGAUCAAUAGGUAGGAACACUCACCGGGUAAAGUUGUACACCAAGCCGACCUUGACUUCUACUCGCCGAGGGAGCCCACGUCGAGACCCACUUCUCCUCCCACCGAUGACACUGCAAGCUUCAAGGCCUGCCGCCGAUCCCGCAUGCCACUGCCGAGCCCCCAGCGCAGUCGUUUUACGAACGGUCGACGGUGCGGACCGGAGUUCAUAGGCCACCAGGCAAUUCUCUCUCUCUCUCCUGAUUCCUCGAGUGCUCAGAGGUUUCGCAAUGUACUUGGAUGGCCAGGGUGAGGCGGUAGCAACUUCUUAUAUACUGUCGGCAGGGAAAGCCUGCUCUAGCCGCGCAAGCCAGCGGAUCCCAAGCGAAUCACCCAGAAAUUUUGAGUUCGUUGCGCGGUUAGUUGCCAGGGCUUUCGCCAGUAACGAUGAACGCGCGAGUCCGCUGUUAGACCAUGCCGCAGAGAAAGGAUGCCAGUGCUGCAGCUAGCGACCACCCAGGCGAGCCAAGUGUAGAGGAUAGGCUACGUGCGUGACCCCGCGGCAUCCGAUUUCCGUGCUCCACGUUCAAGAAGAUGGUCUGCGCGCCGGGGCUCGGUUUUAUUCCCAAGGAUGUGCCAACCACUCGACCCAGACCCAUGGAGAUCCCCAACCGGAAUCCAGCUGUUUCAGUUAGUGCGGCCCGAUUCAACAGCCGAGUUACGCGGACGCGCAGCCAGCGAGCUUGAUGGGGGUUUGCUCAGAUCCAGUCAUAGGGAAGAAGGAAUGGCUGACAGCACGGUCCCAUUUGUCAGUGUCCGGGAGCGGAACAACGAGCCCGGGCUUCCGGCUGAUGCGCGUGCUGGCGAACGGGUCCGGCCCGUCAGCGAGGGUCGCAAACGUUAGAGCACUGGCAACGUGGGUUCCUCUAUCAGUGACGAGAAAGCCAGCAUGGGCGCGCACGGUGUGUGUCGACCGAGGGGGCCCACUCGUCAGUGACGCCAGGGCGCGCGGGUGAGUUACUUGGGCAGCGCGGUGGGGGAAAAGAUAGGGUUAGUUGGGCCGCAGGUUUAAGGUUUUGGCCCAAAGUCUGUUUUCCUUUUCUUUUUUUCUUUUCUAUUUCAAAUUCCAAAUAUUGAAAUCCACAUCCUAAUUCCCGUUUUGAAUUCAAAUCUCAAAUAUAAUCCAAAUGUGAGUAUAAAUCCUACUAUUAUUAUUAUUUAUCCUCCUUCCUAUUAUUUAAUUAUGGAAGCAAGAAAUGACUUUAUUACAAUUUUUGUUUUAUAUUUUCCAUUUAUCAUUUGAGGUCAAAUUAAAUCUUGAUUCCUUUAUUCCAACAAAAUGCAUCACAACAAAAUCAUUGGCAUGAGGUGCACAUUUCUUUAUUCAUUUAUUUGUUAGUUGAAUAAUUUAAUACCACUAACUGAGUAUGCACAAAGAAAAGAAAGUCAAACAAUUGCUAGAACACUAUCAUAUAGGUAUACUUAUUUAUUUAUCUUAUAUAUAUUUUUUCUCUUAUAUAAAUUUCGGGCUUUACAAAUCCUACCCCCUUAACAGAAAUCUCGUCCUCGAGAUUUGUAAGAAAAGGAAUGCAAAAUGAUUAGUUUGUAAUUUAGCUUUCAGUUUAUAAUUGGUUCAAAAAUCCAGAGUCUCAAUUUUUUUGUCCAUAGUGGUUGAUUAGGAGAGCAUAGGUAUUCAGCCACUUAUUAUGUAGGAUAAAAGCUGGACAGGUUGAAGUAAGAAAGAUUAUGGCAAGGAAAAGACUUUAUCUGGAAUGUUUAAAUCUUGAUUCAUCUCGAGAUUUGCUUUGACUGUUAUAUCCUUCCUUGUCGAUGUUGAGCUUUUUGUCUCCGGUCUUGGUCUCAUUAAUUUGAGGUUAAUGUAUAUCAUCGGGGUUGGGAUAACCAUUGCAGUUACAUAGGGUAGGUGGAGUAAACAGAGUUUUACUUUGCUUUUGGGAUGAUUGGGUUGGACAACCUAUAACAUAGGCUGGGUUGUGGUUUCACGGACAAGUUGGUCUAAGACACCAAUUUUAGGUUUAAAACUCAUUUAUAGGAAUAUGGUUUAGUUAAUACUUGUAACAUAGAUUAGACCAUAUUAGAUUAAGUAGGGUCUAGAUUAGAUUGGAUAUAACUAGAUUAGACUAGUUUAAGUUAGGCAGAUCUACCAGGGUAGAAUAUGUAUUAUUAAUAUAUGCUAGAAUCCUUUGAGAUAGGAUGAAUUAUAUAGUGUAGGUAGGUCAGAAUCUCUGUCGGUUAAAAUAGAGGGGUUAUGCAACCAUCGGAUGGUUAAGGUAGUUGCAUAUGGCCAGGUUGGACUAAGACUCCAAUUUAGGUUAAAACGUAUUUAUAAGAGUAGGAGCUGAUCUUAUUUUACCAAAAAUUAUCUAACAUGUUUGUCCAUUAGGUUAGAUAUGAUCAGAUUAGAUGGGAUCAGAAUUAAAUUGGUAUAAUCAGAUUAGACUAGAUAAGAUCUACUUAUUUUAUUUUGGAAUAGAUCAUGUUUGUUACACUGUUAUGAGAUAAGCAAAGUGAUGGGGAUAAGUAUGCUUAUUAGGACAAGAUGAGUCUCUAAGAAUAAGAUAGAAUCUUUUGAGAUUAGUUAGAUUUAUUAGGCUAAGAUAAAAAUCCUUUCGAGAUGAGAUGAGUUUAUUAAGGUAAUAGAGUAUCUUUUAAGAUAAUAUGGAUCAUUUAAGAUAAGAGAGAGUCUUUUAAGAUGAUAGGGAUCUCUAUGAAAUAUUCAAGUGGGGGUACUUUUAGUUGGUCUAGUUUAUCUCAUAACAAUUUAAGAGGAUAAAAUUUUUUAACAUAAGAUGAUCCUAUUAGGAUAAGGUAGAUUCCCUUAAGUUAAGAGGGAUCCAUUAAAGUAAGAAAGAAUCUUUUAAGGUAAGAAGGAUCCAUUUAAAAUAGAUACACUUUAAUGGAGGAUAAUCUAAGUUGUUUAGUUAUCUCAUGAAUUUUAUUUAUUUAUAUCUAUAUGUAUAUGUAGAUGUAAUUGUGGACAUUACUCCACAAUUAAUCACACUCAAUCAAAGAUCCAAAUCAGACAAGUAUCAUAAGAACAAACACUCAAGCGUAUAGAUACCUAUAAAAAUAGUUUAUUUUUUUGUUCCUAAAAGUAGGUCUCUUAUUCCUAAAGAUCACUUUAGGCACAGGAUUUCAAAGUGUGGAAUCCACAUUUGUCUUUAGAAAGAAAAGGUAAUAAUAAUCAGAGUAAAGCAGAAAUAGAUGAGAAAAGAUUAAGAAAAGUUUAGGAAGGGAUCAGAGUAGCAAAGGUAAGGUUAAUCAGAGUAGAACAGUAGAAGAUGAGAUUGGAUCAAGAAAAGUAUAGAAAGAAUCAGAGUAAGGUAAGUAGGUAAUGGUUGUUUAGUUCUAUCUAGGUUUCGUCCUACAGUCAACAUACCUCUGAUACCACUUCUGUCACACCAGGAUUUAAGGGACAAAACCGGGUGCAUCUCAUACAUGUGUCAAAGAAGACAACAUAUAUAAUAAUAGAGUGUAUAGAGAUAAAUGUCAUAAUAACAUAGCUGAAGUCUUACUAAAUAAAAGAUAAAUAUAAAAGGAUCUAAAAUCCAUCCUCGGCGCCAGAAAGUCAACUAGGAGACGCCACCUAGAUCGAAUCGAACUCCUUGAUGUGUGGCUCCACUUGAACCACAUGUUCUUCUCCUGUGAGGGGGUGUGAGACAGCAAGGGUGAGCUCACACAUGUUCAUCGCUCAACAAGUUGUGGGGAAUAAUGUGCAUGAACUCACCAAAGGUGGGGGCUCAUGAAGUGUAAGGUUGAUCAAUAAUAGGGGUUAAAGCUGAGCAUUGUUUUUAAUAAAUUGGUCAAAUUUAAUUAGCAAUUACUAAAUGUAAGUAAAUACCAAACCAUAAUAAAUAAUAGAACAAAAUUAAUACAAAUCCCAUGCAAUGCAAAUGACAAAUUGAGUUUAGGUUCUAUAAUUUAAUCAUGCGAGAGUCCUGAGCAGCUCUUGACCGUGAGCUCGGCUAGUAUACCAGUUUUACACUCUGGAGAGGUUGUACCCUUUACCCACAAGUCGUGUUUCCCAUGUCGCCAGGGUUUGCAACGCCCUUAAACACUACCGAGGUGAAUGGCUAGGGACCAACUACGAGGCCUUUACAAAGUUCCACUAGCUUCCGAAAAUCCGCUACAGUUUAUGGGAAGAGCACUUGCAAGAAUCCCCCGUCUGACCGCCAUCGCAGCAAAAUCAACCCGAGAACCUCCUUGCAUGCAACUCCCUACUGCCCUUGCCCUUUUGGGGUAAGGUAGUCUUCCACUAGCUUUCCAAAUUAGUUAGCCAAGGGGUCCCAUUCCUCCCUUGUGGUGGCAUGUGUUUCUCAAGUUAAGCUCCAUGUUCCAAUUAAUAAUAAUAUAAUGGUCUUGACAUGAACAUAAAUAACAUAACAGAAUAAUUGGAACAUGGAUAUAAUGAAAUAUUAAUCCCAAAACCAUAUAGAGUAAUAGCAAAACUACCCAAAUAAUUCAGGGGUAAAACAAGGUAAAAAGGAUAACCAGACUAGGGUGACCUAUUUGGUCCCAUCAAAAUUAAACCUAUGCAUUGAAUAGUGAUAAUAAAGAAUAUUAUUGGGUAACAAAAGUGGAUCAAGGGCACAACUUGCCUAGGACUUGAGAUUCCAGGUACCAACUUGCUCUUCAAGUAACUCGUAACCUCGCUGCUAGUCGUAGCAAUACAAACAAACAUGGUAUAGACAAAAUUAAUAUCACACCAGACAUAAGAACAAAAUAAUAAUCUACGCAUCGCAACGAGGUCGUGGGAACGAGAACCACUAAAAUCGGAGUUACGGUUAAGGAGUUAUGAUUUUAUAGAGGAUUUAUGUGAUUAAAAUAUCAAACUAUAUUAUAAACUGGUUGGUACAUACCAUAUAAGAGAUUAUUCCAUAAAUAAUUAAUUCAACUUAAAUUUUAAUCAUAACUUGGCUAGAGAUCAUGCUUUAAUCCUAUUAUAAUUAUGGACAGGUUAAAUUUGAUUCAGAAGAGGUAUUAUAGUAGACAUAGGUUAAAUAAUAUCUAACUAUAAUAUUAUGAAACAUGGUAUGAUCAAUACUGUUACUGUGUAGGUAAUAUUUAUAUGAAUCUAACGCAACUUGAACGAGUCAAUUCGGAGUUAAAAUGGAGGAGUUAUGAAUUUCCUAAGGUUUUAUGUAUUUGAUAUAAGAUUAAUUAGGAAAUAAAUUUUAAAGUGGCUUUCAUGUCAAAAUAGUGGUACUAACUGAUAAACAAUAAUAUUACAAAAUUAUAGGAAUUGGAAUGAAUUAAUUUUGACUAAGUAUGCAUUUUCUAUGCAUUAAAUAAAUUCUAGCAUUCCUUUUUCAUUAAAAAUCAUUUUCUAAUUCCUUUUUCUUGAUUUUAUAAUUCUCUGGACUGGGCCUCAAUGACAGGAAAGUCUAAGGGUUAAUGCGCGAAAAGUCCCAGGACACAAAUCUACCCCGCGGUGGAUGGCGGGUUAAAUAACCAAGACUCCGAGGGCUCAUUUACAUUUAUUCCUGGCCGAAGGGGUAUCGGCCGCUCCCAUACGUCCGAUCAUCCGCGAACGAUCUACAUUAGAUUUCCUAUAGAGCGAACCGGUACGUCAUACGAGCCGUUAGAUGCCAGAUCCACGGCCCACACGAGCGCACACUCUUUUACCCCUUUCCCCUCGGAUCAUUAAUCAACGGUCUAGAUUGGCCGGAUCGAAACGUGACGCUCAAGCGAUCCCAACCGUUCACCAGGGAUGGACAGCGCACACAUCGUCUUCCUCCACUGGUUCCGUCGCUAUUUUCUCCCCAGCCAACCCUCCGCGACCGAGCGCCAUAGCCGCGUCAGCAUGCUGGUCAGUGCUCGCCAUCCGAGCCUGAAAUACAGUCCGAACGCCACUACUCAAAUCCUACACGGCCACGAUCAAUAGGUAGGAACACUCACCCAUGGUAAAGUUGUACACCAAGCAGACCUCGACUUCUGCUCAUCGAGGGACCCCACGUCUAGACCCCAAUCUGGACUGGCACACCCACUUCUCCUCCCACCGAUGACACCACAAGCUUCAAGGCCCGCCGCCGAUCCCGCAUGCCACUGCUGAGCCCCCAGCGCAGUCGUUUUACGAACGGUCGACGACGCAGAUCGGAGUUCACGCGCCACAGGGCGAUUCUCUCUCUCUCCUGAUUCCCUGAGUGCUCAGAGGUUUCGCAAUGUGCUUGGAUGGCUAGGGUGAGGCGGCAGCAACUUCUUAUAUACUGUCCGCAGGGAAAGCCUGCUCCAGCCGCGCAAGCCAGCGGAUCCCGAGCGAAUCGCCCAGAAAUUCGGAGUCCAUUGCGUGGUUAGUUGCUAGGGCUUUCGCCGGUAAAGAUUAACGUGCGAGUCCACUGUUAGACCAUGCCGCAAAGAAAGGAUGCCAGCACAACAGCUAGCGACCACCUAGGCGAGCCAAGCGUAGAGGAUAGGCUACGUGCAUGACCCCACGACGUCCGAUUUCCGCGCUCCGCAUUCAAGAAGAUGGUCUGCGCGCCGGGGCUCGGUUUUAUUCCCAAGGCUGUGCCAACCACUCGUCCCAGACCCACAGAGAUCCCCAACCGGAAUCCGACUGUUUCAGUUAGUGCGGCUCGAUUCAACAGCCGAGUUACGCGGAGCGCGGCCAGCAAGCUCGACAGGGGUUUGCUCAGAUCUAGUCGUAGGGAAGAAGGAACGACUGAUAGCAUGGUCCCAUUUGUCAGUGUCCGGGAGCGGAACAACGAGCCCAGGCUUCUGGCUGAUGCGCAUGCUGGUGAACGGGUCCGGCCCGUUAGUGAGGGUCGCAAAUGUUAGAGCACUGGCAACGUGGGUUCCUCUGUCAGUGACGAGAAAGCCAGCUUGGGCACGCACGGUGUGUGUCGGCCGAGGGGGCCCACUCGUCAGUGAUGCCAGGGCGUGCGGGUGAGUUACUUGGGCUGCGCGGUGGGGGAAAAGAUAGGGUUAGUUGGGCCGCAGGUUUAGGGUUUUGGCCCAAAGUCUGUUUUCCUUUUCUUUUUUUCUUUUCUAUUUCAAAUUCCAAAUAUUCAAAUCCACAUCCUAAUUCCUGUUUUGAAUUCAAAUCUCAAAUAUAAUCCAAAUGUGAGUAUAAAUCCUACUAUUAUUAUUAUUAUUAUUUAUCCUCCUUCCUAUUAUUUAAUUAUGGAAGCAAGAAAUGACUAUUACAAUUUUUGUUUUAUAUUUUCCUUUUAUCAUUUGAGUUCAAAUUAAAUCUUGAUUCCUUUAUUCCAACAAAAUGCAUCACAACAAAAUCAUCGACAUGAGGUGCACAUUUCUUUAUUCAUUUAUUUGUUAGUUGAAUAAUUUAAUACCCCUAAUUGAGUAUGCACAAAGAAAAGAAAGUCAAACAAUAGCCAGAACACUAACAUAUAGGUAUACUUAUUUAUUUAUCUUAUAUAUAUAUUUCUCUUAUACAAAUUUCAGGCUUUACAGUCAUGUAUAGACGCUGGAUCCUCGGUAUAAAUGGAAGGUGGUGUAGGAUUGUCACGGGGAUGUCGAGCUGACUCUUCUGUCCAUCACCAGAGUCUACCUCCAUGAACCUAGAUGAUUUACACUUUAGAUAGUACUUUGCCUUCGUGUUUUCUUUCCUAAAUAGCACAUAGCCCUUCGGACAAGCAUGUAUCUGCUCAUACGUCAUCUUAAAUGCACGAAGGAGUUUUUAUGCCUCGUACAUGCUCUUUGGCAGAACGUGAUCCUCUAGAAGCAGGCUGCCAAUAACUAUCAACAAGCCAUCGAAUGCGUCUUGACUCAUCCUGUACUGCGACUUGAACGCCAUUACACGCCCAAUGGCUUCCAGUUGAGAAACCUUUGUCUGGCCGUGAAGGGCUUCUGUGCCAUGUCAAACAUGUUGUAGAACGCCUUGCGGUUGGCUCUGCUCGUCCUCUGUCACACCCGGGUUCUAGGGGCGACCAAAACCCGGGCAUGCAAAAUAAUCACCAAGUGUGCUGGGACCAAGUCUCACACAUAUGAUGACUCAUGGUAUAGAAACAAAUGUCACAUCUUUACUAUAUAAUAGGAGUUCUGUAUAAAAUAACUAAAUAUUUAUAUAAUAUGCGGGCAACGAUCCAGCAACCAUAGUUGACUAGGAGACGACGACCUAGACCACUCACGAAGUCAUCACAGCAUCCUUCGUGCGCCUCCUUCUGUGGUACCUGUUUUUGGCCUGGGGGGAUGUGAGUACAGCAAGGGUGAGCUUACAUACAUUCAUCAUUCAACAAGUUGUGGGGAAUAAUGUGCAUGAACUCACCAAAGGUGGGAGCUCAUGUGAAGUGUAAGGCUUACCAAAGGAGAUGGUUGAAGCUGAGCAUUGCUUUUAGAGUUGGUCAAAAUUUUAUUAGCAGUUACUAAGUAUAAGUAGAUACCAACCCAAAUAAGUAAGAGAUUAAAAUUGAUAAUAACACCCGUGAUGCAAUGCAUAUGACAAAUUAAGUUUAGUUCCAUAGAUUAAUCAUGCGAGAGUAAUGAGCUGCUCAUGACCGCGAGCACGACUGAUAUACUAGUUUUACACUCUGUAGAGGUUGCGCCCUUACCCACAAGUCGUGUAUCCCGUCUAGCCAGGGUUAGCUAGACCCUUAGACACUUUCGAGGUGAAUGGCUAGAGAUCCACUACGAGGCCUUUACAAAGUUCCACUAGCUUUAGAAAACCCGAUACAAUUUCUAGGAAGGGCAAUAUAGGAAUCCCUCGUCCGAAAAGCCAUCACAGCAUGAUCGACCCGAGAACCUCCCUAUACACAACUCCCCUACUGCCCUGGCCCCUUUCGGGUAAGGUAGUCCUCCACUGGCUUUUAAGCUCCAUGUUCCAAUUAACACAAUGAUCUUGUCAUGAACAACAAUUAAAACAACAGUAUAAUUGGAACAUGAUCAUAAUGUAAUAUUAUUCCCAAAACCAGAUAGAGCAAUAUCAUAACUACCCAAAAGUUUAGUGGUAAACAAGGUGUGAGAUAAACAUUAUUAGGUAAAAAAGUGAUCAAGGGCUCAACUUGCUUGAGACUCGAGAUUCCAGGUACCAGGAUGAUCAUCAGAUGACUCGUGACCUCACUGCUAAUCAUAGCAAUACAAACAAACAUGGUAUAGGCAAAAUUAACAUCACAUCAAACAUAAGAACAAACUGUAUAAUAAUAAUCUACACGUCGUUAUGAGAUCGUAGGUUCGAGAAUCACUAAAUUUGUAGUUAAGAUUAUAGAGAUAUGAUUUUCGGAAGCCCUUUAUGGUUAAAUAAUAGCAACUAUAUUCUAUGUUGAUUAGCAUAAAUCAUAUGAGAAAAGAUAUUAAAUAAAUAAUUAAUUUAACUUUAAUCUAGGUUAUAAUCUUGAUUAGAGAUCUUGUUUUAGUCAAACUAUAAUUAUAGAUAGGUUGACUUGACUAGAUUGAUUAAUCAACUAACACAAGCUAAAUAAAUAUCCAAUUAUAAAAGUAUGUGGACUGAUAAAAAAAUAAUGUUUUUAAGGUGUAAACAAUUUUAUUACGAAGCUAAUGCAAUUUGAACAGAGCAAAAUAGAGUUAAGACGUGAGAGAUAUGCAAUAAAUAAGAUUUUAGGUUUGUUUUUAUAUUUAUUUUUAUGCCAAAACAACUAUCAAGGACAUGAACGUAAAUACCAGGGACUGGUUUGCAAAUUUCAAGGACUUAUUUGUUAUUCCUUCAGCUUUAACAUGGAUGGCGGGCUUAAUACAUAUAGCCUUGAGGGCUCAUAUGCGAAACUCACUGCCGAAGGGGUAACAUUGCGUCAUAGCCAUCAGAUCUAAACCUGAUGGCACAGAUUAAAAGGGAUGAAGGGUUACUCUGGGUUCUAAUAUGCACCGAACAUAAGCGAUCUAAUAGUCACAAUCUACAUUGCCCCACCCCCAAUCUUGGCCGCACAUCCGAGAUCCCACGGUUUGGUUACACACAAGCGACCGCUGACCACUGACCAUUGGAUUGUCAUCCAACGACCCAAGUUCGACCCCGAAGUGGUAUCAUCAACACCCGAUCACAGUCGCAUGAUGGCCAUCCAACGACCACUUCCUUUCCCCAGCUACACCCCUCCAAGUAGCCCGCGCGCGGCGGCGUUGCCUAGCCCAUGGUGAUGGAGUUCGCUGGAGAUGCACGAUCUCCCUCUCUGGUUCCCAAAACCUGGAUCUGAAGGGUGCUAAGCAGAGGGGGCAUUAAUGUGAAUAAGGUGGGGAGAAUUUUACCAUCGGUCGAAGUCACUAAGCUACGGGUCCACAGCACAGCACGGAGCAUCGCCAUUUUCUGAAAAUCAGUGAGGAAUUACGGCGGUGUCCGGCCGUCCACACGUCGGGCAAAUCUACGGCUAGUCUCCACGCACACAGGCGGUACACCUCCUUCACAACUCAAGGUCCGAAUGAUGGUGAUGCUGGUUCUGCAGCACGACGGCAUGCGCACUACUUUCUUUCUCUCCCCGAACUGCUCACUUUGCUCUAUGUAUUGGUGGCGAGGCGCUUGUGUUGAGGUGGUGACCUAGGAUAGCGAGAUGGGAGGAGGGGGUAGCUAAGAGCUCGCCUCAUAUAGCCUCAACUAACAACAACUAGACCCGAUGCUCACGCAGGUUUGUUAGGCGUUUGCCGGCCGUGGAGGAUCGUAACAACUGGGGAAGAUGGAUCUGGGUGAUGGGCCCCACAAGUCAGUCGGGUAAGGGAAUGGCUGGCAGCAAAACGGUAAUCGUGUACAGCUAGUCUCGCUGGCGCGAGGGGCCCAAGCGUUAGCGUAGUGUGUUCGAGGCGCACGCAGGCAGCCAGCCGACACAACGGACCCACCGGUCGGCGACACACCAGUAUCCAUGGGCCGCAGGCGCGAGAAAAACAAAUGAGCCAAGGGGAGGAAGCGAGAGUGGGCCAACCAGGAUAAUUCGGCCCAUGUAGCAGGUGGUUUUCCCUUUUUUUUAUUUUCCUAUUUACUUUCUAUUUUUUAAUUCCAAUUUGAAUCCCAACUCAAAUCAGGUCUUUGGAUUUCAAAAUUUAUUUAAAAUGAACAAACAAAGAAAUUUACCAGCAAGCAAUGCAAGGUUCAUUUUAUUCCUUUGAUUAAUAGUUUAAUUUCGAAUGCAUAGUUCACGCUUCCUAAAAUUCAAAUAACUUUUCUAUUUUUGAAACCACCUAAUCUCCCAUACAAUUUCUGAAAAGAAUAAUUCAUGUAAACUACUUCAUCCUAUAACUUAUGUUUAAAAUGAUUUAAACACAUAACUAAUAUUUUAUUUUCCCCCAUUUAUUUGGUUUUAGGAAAAUAGUUUCAAGGACAAACCAUCUUUAAUCCAAAUAUUUCAUAGAAAUUUUCUAAUCACCACAGCAAGAUUUUGAGGUGUUACAAAUCCUACCCCCCCUUAAAACUAAUCUCGUCCUCGAGAUUAAUUAGAAAAGGGAUAGAAAUAUUGGUUUGUGAUUUUAGCUUUUAAUUUCUAAUUGUUUUGAAACUGAAGAGUCUUUUUUUACAAUCAUUAGUGGGCGAUUGGGAGAGCAUAUGUAGAUCGAGGUAAGGAAGAUUAAGACACAGAAAGCUUCCAUCACGGAUGGUGGAUCUUGACUCAUCUAGUGAUCUAGCUUGGCUUUUGAAGACCUAAGUUGGUGCUCAUCCUUUCUUGACGAGGUCGAUCUAUUUCUUCUCUAGGCUUGGUGUCUCCAUCUGAGCUAGGGACAUAUGGCUAAGAAAGCUGUGAGUAGGAUAGACUACAUUAAGUAGGUCUAGCUCUGGUUUGAUGUUAAGUUGGAAUGGAUGGUUAUCAUAAACAUGUUGGUUAGUUUGUUUGUUCAUGGCCAAGUUGGUCUAAUGCACCAAUUUAGUUUAAAAUGGGUUUAUAGGAGUAAGGUCUAAUUUAUUUCACCACUAUUAACUUGUUAAGUGACUAACAUUCAAUUAGGUCGUAUUUAGAUUUGAUGGGUCUAGAUUAGAUUGGUAUGACUAGAUUAGACUAGAUAAGAUCUAAUUAAUUUCGGUUAGAUCAUAGUUGUUACACUAGGAUGGGAUUAUCAAAGUGGUUAGGACAAGACGAGAUAAGAUAGAUUCUUUUAAGGUGAGAUGAAUCUAUUAAGUUAGAUACAUUUUAAUGGGGAUAAUCUAGGUUGUCUAAUCACCUUAUAAAUUUUUUUAUGCCUACAUGUAUAUGCAGAUGCAAUUGUGGACAUUACUCCACAACCCAUCACACUCAAUCAAAGAAUCGAAUCAAGCAGUUAUCAUAAGGACAAACACUCAAGCAUAUAAAUAUUUAAAUAUUUACAAAAAUAGUUUUGAUUUGGUUCCUAGGAUUAGGUUUUCUAUUCCUAAAGGUCACUUUAGGUACAUGAUCUCAAAGUUUGAAAUCCACCUUUGUCUUUAGAAGUGAAAAGGUAAGAGUAAUUAGAGUAAAGCAACAAUAGUUAAGAAAAGAUUAAGAAAAGUUUAUAAAGAAUCAGAGUAAAGGUAAGUAGAUAAGGUUGUCCAGUUCUAUCUAGGUUACGUCCUACAGUCAACAUUCCUUCGAUACCACUUUUGUCACACUCGGGUUCUAGGGGCGACCAAGACUCGGGCGUGCAAAAUAAUCACCAAGUGUGCUGGGACCAAGUCUCACACAAAUGAUGACUCAUGGUAUACAAAUGAAUGUCACAUCUUUACUAUAUAAUAGGAGUUCUGUACAAAAUAGCUAAAUAAUUACAUCAUAUGCAGGCAACGAUCCAGCAAUCAUAGUUGACUGGGAGACGAUGGCCUAGACCACUCACGAACUUAUCACAGUAUCCUUCAUGUGCCUCCUCUUGCGGUACCUGUUCUUGACCUAGGGGCAUGUGAGUACAGCAAGGGUGAGCUCACAUACGUUCAUCGCUCAACAAGUUGUGGGGAAUAAUGUGCAUAAACUCACCAAAGGUGGGAGCUGAUGUGAAGUGUAGGGCUUACCAAAGGAGUUGGUCAAAAUUUUAUUAGCAGUUACUAAGUAUAAGUAGAUACCAACCCAAAUAAGUAAGAGAUCAAAAUUGAUAAUAACACCCGCGAUUCAAUGCAUAUAACAAAUUAAGUUUAGUUCCAUAGAUUAAUCAUGAGAGAGUCCUGAGCUGCUCAUGACCACGAGCAUGGCUUAUAUACCGGUUUUACACUCUGCAGAGGUUGCGCCCUUUACCCACAAGUCGUGUAUCCCAUCUAGCCAGGGUUAGCUAGACCCUUAGACACUUCCGAGGUGAAUGUCUAGGGAUCCACUAUGAGGCCUUUACAAAGUUCCACUAGCUUCAGAAAACCUGCUAUAGUUUCUAGGAAGGGCAAUAUAGGAAUCCCUCGUCCAAAAAGCCAUCGCAGCAUGAUUGACACGAGGAACUCCCUAUAUGCAACUCCCCUACUGCCCUUGCCCCUUUCGGGUAAUGUAGUCCUCCACUAGCUUUCCUAAUUAGUUAGCCAAGGGCGUCCCAUUCCACCCUUAUGGUAGCACGGAUAUCUCAAGUUAAGCUGCAUGUUCCAAUUAACACAAUGAUCUUGUCAUGAACAAUAAUUAAAACAACAGUAUAAUUGGAAUAUGAUCAUAAUGUAAUAUUAAUCCCAAAACCAGAUAGAACAAUAGCAUAACUACCCAAAAGUUCAGUGGUAAACAAGGUGUGAGAUAAACAAGUCUAGGGAAACCUAUUAGGUCCCAUCAGAUUAACAUGAGCAUAUCAUAGUGAUUAACAGUAACAUUAUUAGGUAAAGAAAAGUGAUGAAGGGCACAACUUGCCUAAGACUCGAGAUUCCAGGUACCAGGAUGAUCUUCAGAUGACUCGUGACCUCACUGCUAAUCGUAGCAAUACAAACAAACAUGGUAUAGGCAAAAUUAACAUCGCACCAAACAUAAGAACAAACUGCAUAAUAACAAUCUACGUGUCGUAACGAGAUCGUAGGUUCGAGAAUAACUAAAUUCGGAGUUACAGUUAAAGAGAUACGAUUUUCGGAAGCUAGCAACUUUAUUCUAUGUUGAUUAGCGUAAAUCAUAUGAGAAAAGAUAUUAAAUAAAUAAUUAAUUCAACUUUAAUCUAGGUUAUAAUCUUGAUUAGAGAUCUUAUUUUAGUCAAACUAUAAUUAUAGAUAGGUUGACUUGAUUAGAUUGAUUAAUAAACUAACACAAGCUAAAUUAAUAUCCAAUUAUAAAAAUAUGCGGACUGAUAAAAAUAAUGUUUUUAAGAUGUAAAAAAUUUUAUUAGGAAACUAUUGCAAUUUGAACGGAGCAAAACGGAGUUAAGACGUGAGAGAUAUGCAAUAAAUAAGAUUUUGGGUUUGUUUUUAUAUUUAUUUUAUGCCAAAAUAGCUAUCAAGGGUAUGAACGUAAAUACCAGGGACUGGUUUGCAAAUUCUGAGGACUUAUUUGUUAUUCCUUCAGCUUUAACAUGGAUGGCGGGUUUAAUACAUAAAACCCUACGAGCUCAUAUGCGAAACUCACUGGCUGAAAGGGUAACAUUGCGUGUCAGCCAUCAGAUCUAAACCUGACGGCACAAAUUAAAAGGGAUGAAGGGUUACUCUGGGUUCUAAUCCGCACCGCACAUAAGCAAUCUAAUAGUCACGAUCUACAUUGCCCCACCCCCAAUCUUGGCCGCACCUCCGAGAUCCCAUGGUUUGGUUACACACAAGCAACCACUGACCACUGACCAUUGGAUUGUCAUCCAACGACCCAAGUUCGACGCCGAAGCGGUAUCAUCAACACCCGAUCGCAGCCGUAUGAUGGCCAUCCAAUGGCCACUAUUCCUUUCCCAGCUACACCCCUCCAAGCAGCCCGCGCGCGGCGACGCCGCCCAGCCCAUGGUGAUGGAGUUCGUCGGAGAUGCACGAUCUCCCUCUCUGGUUUCCAAAACCUGGAUCUAAAGGGUGCUACGCAGUGGGGGCGUUAAUGCAAACAAGGUGGGGAGAAUUUUACCAUCGGUCGAAGUCACUAAGCUGCGGGUCCACGACACACCAUGGAGCACCGCCAUUUUCUAAAAAUCAGUGAGGAAUUGCGACGGUGUCUGGCCGUCCACACGCCGGGAAAAUCUAUGGCUAGUCUCCACACACAUAGGCGGUACUCCUCCUUCACAACCCGAGGUCCGAAUGACGAUGAUGCUGGUUCUAUGGCGCGACGGCAUGCGCACCCCUUUCUUUCUCUCCCCGAGUUGCUCACUUUUCUCUAUGUAUUGUUUGUGAUGUGCUUGCGUUGCGGCGGUGACCUAGUCAAGCGAGAUGGGAGGAAGGUGGGGGGUAGCCGAGAGCUCACCUCAUAUAGCCUCAGCUGACAACAACUGCACCCGAUGCUCACGCAGGUUUGUUAGGCGUUUGUCGACCGCGGAGGAUCAUAACAACCAAGGAAGAUGGAUCUGGGUGAUGUGCCCCACAAGUCAGUUGCGUAAGGGAAUGGCUGGCAGCGAAACGACAACCGCGCACAGCUAGUCUCACUAGCACGAGGGGCCCAGGCGUCAGCACAGUGUGUUCGAGGCGCACGCAGGCGGCCAUCCGACACAGCGGACCCACCGUCAGUGACACACCAUUAUCCAUGAGCCGUAGGCACGAGAAAAACAAAUGUGCUGCGGGGAGGAAGCGAGAGUGGGUCAACCAGGACAAUUUGGCCCAUAUGGCAGGUGGGCUUCCCUUUUUAUUUUCCUAUUUCCUUUCUAUUUUUUAAUUCCAAUUUGUGUCCCAAUUCAAAUCAGGUCUUUGGAUUUCAAAAUUUAUUUAAAAUGAACAAACAAAGAAAUUUACCAGCAUGCAAUGCAAGGUUCAUUUUAUUCCUUUGAUUAAUAGUUUAAUUUCGAAUGCAUAGUUCACGCUUCCUAAAAUUCAAAUAACUUUUCUAUUUUUGAAACCACCUAAUCUCCCAUACAAUUUCUGAGAAGAAUAAUUCAUGUAAACUACUUCAUCUUAUAACUUAUGUUUAAAAUGAUUUAAACACAUAACUAAUAUUUUAUUUUCCCCCAUGUAUUUGGUUUUAGGAAAAUACUUUCAAGGACAAACCCUCUUUAAUCCAAAUAUUUCAUAGAAAUUUUCUAAUCACCACACUAAGAUUUUGAGGUGUUACAUCCUCCGUACAUCCUCCAGCGAAAUAUACCUCGGGAUAGUCGUUCAACAUAUCCACUACCCCCGCAUCAGUAUCAUAAUCCUCGACGCGUUGUCUCACCACAUCCUCUCUCAUAUGAUGCGCUUCACCACGGAAGAUCCACCGAGUAUAGUCCGGCGUAAAUCCAUUAUUCCAAAUAUGUUCUACCAUGACUUUCUUUGAUUUUUUUCUAGUUGGCACAUUAGCUGCAUGGGCAUGGGACUAGACUCGCUCCUUUAGCAGCUUCGCCAUAUGCCCAUUCAACGAAAUCAUUGGUCUUUCUAAUCCAUUCAGGGGUGACAUCAUUCCUUCCUACAUGGCCCGUGUACAUCCACUCACGGUCCUCCAUCCUCUAACAUAUAUAACUGAGUAUAGUUUAAUAUAACAUGUAAGGCCUCUGCAAAAAAAUAACUCAAGCCUAUCAACAAAAAAAUUCGGCAGCACCUCUUCUGCACGGGGAGGUUUCCAAAACCUGCAAAUAAAACUAGCAGCACGAUGGCUGACAUCCACACAUAUAUCUAUGGCACGAUAGACGACAAUCACAUCAAUCAGCGUCCAUAUCCAACAUCACAUUAUAUAGAAUUGACACACAUAGUAUAAACUCACUAAACACCCAUACUAAAGUAAUUAAACUUAGUAAACUCACUAAAUUCACUAAACACACAUAAUAAACUCACUAAACCCACUAAAUUCACUCAGUGGCGGAUCUAGGAAUUUAUCUCUGGGUAUGCCGAACCAAUAAUUUGGUGGUACCAUAUAGAAAUAAUAAAAUUUGCCUAACUAAAUAGUUACAAAUAUAUAUAAUUGGUCCCAAUAUAAUAUUUUUAUAAUCAUGAUAAUAUAUUAAUUUAGUUCAAUAUAUGCAUAAAUUUCACUUACUCAUGGGAGUAUGUACUAGAAGAUUACUUGUUUUUCUUUGGCCUGCGGUUUCUGAUGGUAAAAAAGUCUUGAUUACAUCUUCUUCAUCCAGUUGAAAGAAAACAUCUCGCUCAAUAUAUGUGAGUAGACAGUCAUCCAAAAGGCUAUCACCCAUCUUAUUUCUCAACUUACUUUUGAUGAAUGUCAUCGCAGAAAAUGCCCUCUCAACACCUACUGUUGCCACAGGUAGAAGUAAUACUAAUUUGAGAAGCGUGAAUACUAAGUCAUAAACUUUAUGCCUCUUCGUUUGAACAAGCUUCAAUGAGAGAUCAACAAGAUUUUCUAGGCCUUCAAAUAAAACAUCUUUUUUAUGUCAGCAAUAAAGUUACCCAACUGCAAUUCAAGCUUUAGUAAAUCGGUACCAAAUAUGUCCUUUGGAUAAAAAUAAGCAACUCUGCAUAACUUCUGUGCAUCAAAAGAAGCAAAUGAGUCUUUAGGACUGAAUGCCAAAAUACAAGAAAGUAACUCCAUAUUAACUUCAUCAAAGCGACUGUCAAGUUCUUGACUAAUUUGAUCAAUAACCCCAAUAUAUACUUCUCUUCUGAAGUGAUCAUCAUUUGUUUGGUUUUUGGCAAACCGAGCUGAUCUUCCAUAAGGCACAUAAUUAUUCUCCAUGAUAGGAACAUGGACAUCAUGUUUGUUGCAAAAUAAAGUGACCUUUUCAAGGAAUUGACUCCAUCCACUAGACCUUAAUUCUUGCAUUCUAUCCUUUGGCACUCUAAUAAGUGAGAUUGCAUUUAUAAUAUCUUGCUCCCUUCUUUGCAAGCACUCUGAUAAUUCAUUAGUGUAUCCCAAAAUGAUAAACAUCAAGUGUGCACUAAAAAUAUAAUCAAAUGACUCCAAUACUCCAACCAUAGUAUGUAUUUUUGGCCAAUCACUCUUUUGUGAAGUAUCAUUACCAAGAGAGAUGAGUACAUCACGUAUUGUGGGAUACAUACCAAUAAUGUUGACAACAGUUUUGUAGUGAGAUCCCCAACGAGUCUCGCCUGGCCUAGGCAAUCCCAUCUCUUGAUUUAAUCCACUUCCAGUUUGAAGUUCACCACAAUAAAUUGCUUUCAUGACAUUAUCAAGUCUUGCAUCUCGAAUCAUGCCAUGACGUUUACAAGAAACACCAACAAUAUUCAGCAAAAGAGACAUUUGGUCAAAAAACCAAACACAGUCACUAUUCCCCUUGGCAACAACAACAAGAACUAAUUGAAGUUGAUGAGCAAAACAAAGAAUAUAAUAAGCAGAUGGUGACUCUUGCAUGAUCAAUGUUUUGAGCCCUUUAACCUCUCCCUUCAUGUUGCUAGCACCAUCGUAACCUUGCCCAUGAAUUAUUCACUAAACACACAUAAUAUAAUAUGAAAAUCACUAAACUCACAUAGUACAAUAUGAAACUCACUGAAUCUGGGACGGGGUCGGUGUUGAAGAUGGGGUGGCGGCGGGCGAGAGUGUGGGCAGCGGCGGGCGAGGGCGUGACCAGCGGUGGGCGGAAGUGGUGGUGGCGGGCGAGGCCGGCGGUGGGCGGGCUGCCGUGGUGGGGCGGCGUGGCCGAAGGAAGGCACGGCGGUGCGGCGGCGCGGAUGAGGGAAGGGAGGGUAAGAGUGAAUGUGGGCGAGAGAGAAUGGGGGCCAACAAAGUAAAAGUUCUUUACCGAGUGCCCGUGAUCUGGAACUUGGCAAAGAUUUUUUUAAAAUUUUAAAAUAUACUUUACCGAGUGCCCGCGGUCUGGCACUCGACAAAGCCUUCUUUGCCGAGUGUCCUACGGCUGACAUUCGGCAAAGAUUACUUUAUUUUUUUAAAAUAAAGUUUACCGAACGCCCUGUCGGCGUUCCAAGACCGGGGGGUCCCUGGGCCGACGAGUGAAUGUCGCCGCGUGCCCCAGCCCAGAUGGGUCGAGCGCGAGGGCGAGCGCAAAGGGGGGAGAGCGAGGCGGCCGGAGAUCGGCGUGAGAGAGGUGGGAAUCCCGCGGCCUUCGUGUUCGUCCCGCGCCCAGGUCGGGUGCGCUUGCAGUAGGGGGUUACAAGCGUCCACGCGGGAGAGGGAGCGAGCGGCUCCAGGCGAGCGCCUGUUCUCGUCCUCGUCCCCGCGCGGCCAACCUUCUCUAAGAGGGCCCUGGUCCUCCCUUUUAUAGAGUAAGCAGAGGAUCUAGGUGUACAAUGGGGGGUGUAGCAGGGUGCUACGUGUCUAGCGGAGGUGAGCUAGCGCCCUAGGUACAUGCCGUUGUGGCAGCCGGAGAGAUCUUGGCACCCAGCUGGUGUGAUGUCGUGGCCGUCGAAGGAGCGAUGGAGCUUGGCGGAGGGACAGCUGUCGGAGCGGUUGAGCCCUUGCUGACGUCCUCUUGCUUCCGUAAGGGGGCGGAGAGCCGCCGUCGUCACAGAGCAUGCGGGGCGCCAUCAUUGCCUAUCUGGCGGCGCAAGCCAGAUGGGACGCCGGUCUUGUUCCCUGCGGCCCGAGUCAGCUCGGGGUAGGGUGAUGAUGGCGCCUCCUGUCGACGUGGCUGGUCUACGCCCUAGGUUGGGCGAUGUGGAAGCUCCUCCGAAGCCGAGGUUGAGUCCGAGCCCCCGGGUCGGGCGAGGCGGAGAUCGUCGUCUUCUGGGGCCGAGCCCAAGUCCGAGCCCUGGGUCGAGCGAGGCGGAGAUCGUCGUCUUCUGGGACUUAGCCCGAGUCCGAGCCCUGGGUCGGGCAGAGCGGAGUUCGCCGUCUUCCGGGACUUAGCCCGAGUCCGAGCCCUGGGUCGGGCGGAGUUCACCGUCUUCCGGGACUUAGCCCGAGUCCGAGCCCUGGGUCGGGCGGAGCGGAGUUCGCCGUCUUCCAGGACUUAGCCCGAGUCCGAGCCCUGGGUCGGGCGGAGUUCGCCGUCUUCCGGGACUUAGCCCGAGUCUGAGCCCUGGGUCGGGCGGAGCGGAGUUCGCCGUCUUCCGGGACUUGGCCCGAGUCCGAGCCCUGGGUCGGACGGAGUUCGCCGUCUUCCGGGACUUAGCCCGAGUCCGAGCCCUGGGUCGGGCGGAGUUCGCCGUCUUCCGGGACUUAGCCCGAGUCCGAGCCCUGGGUCGGGCGGAGCGGAGUUCGCCGUCUUCCGGGACUUAGCCCGAGUCCGAGCCCUGGGUCGGGCGAAGCGGAGCUUCCUAUGGUGCCUCUGGCAGGGCCUGACCGCUUGCCAGUCUUACUCUGUCCAGUGGCAGUGUAGUCGGUGUGGCGUAGGCGGCGCUGUCCUUUCGUCAGGCCGGUCAGUGGAGCGGCGAAGUGACGGCGGUCACUUCGGCUCUGCCGACGGGGGUGCGUGCCAGGAUAAGGGUGUCAGGCCACCUUUGCAUUAAAUGCUCCUGCGACUUGGUCGGUCGGUGCGGCGAUUUGGUCAGGGUUGCUUCUUAGCGAAGGCAGGGCCUCGGGCGAGCCGGGAAUAUGUUCGCCGCUAAAAGGGGGGCCUCGGGCGAGACGGAAAUCCUCCGGGGUCGGUUGCCCUUGUCUGAGGCUAGGCUCGUGUGAGGCGUGAUCGUGUCCCUCGAAUGGACUGAUCCCUGACUUAAUCGCACCCAUCAGGCCUUUGCAGCUUCAUGCUGAUGGGGGUUACCAGCUGAGAAUUAGGAGCCUUGAGGGUACCCCUAAUUAUGGUCCCCGACAGUAGCCCCCGAGCCUCGAAGGGAGUGUUUGCACUCGCUUGGAGGCUUUCGUCGCACCUUUUUGCAAGGGGACCAACCUUUCUCGGUUGCGUUUUGUUCCGGUGGGUGCGCGCGAGCGCACCCGCCGGGUGUAGCCCCCGAGGCCUCGGAGGAGUGGUUUCACUCCUUCGAGGUCUUACUGCCUCACGUAGUGCUUCGGCUGGUCUGGUCGUUCCCUCAUGCGAACUGGCCGUAGCCCAGGUGUACGGUCGGGUCCCAAGUUCUCGGGCUGGUAUGUUGACGCUGUCAACGGUUCGGCCGGAGUCGGGUUUGCGAUAGCAGCCCCCGAGCCUCUGCACAGAGCGAGAGGGCGGUCAGGGGUAGACUCGGCUUUUUUACAUACGCUCCUGCAUCGCCUUUCCGCAAGGAGGAGGGGGGGAAAGCGCCAUGUUGCCCUCGAUGGGCGUCGAACAUGGUGUCUCCGACGAGCUGCAAGCGGGUAAUCCGAGUGGACGUCCGUGCCCCGUUCGGUAGGGGUCGGCUAGGGGCCCAGAGGCACGCCCAAAAGUACCUGCGGGUGAUCUGCCAGACUCGGUCCCCUGGCGACGGGGUCCGAGGGCUCGAUGCCUCCCUCUGGUGGGAUUCUGUUACAAGAUUGUUCCCGCCGGUCUCGGAAAUGUCCUAGGGUACCUCGGGAGCGCAGCCCGAGCCUUGAUUGUGUAUCGAACGUACCCAUGGUCAUCCCUCGCUCGGCGUCUGAGGUGGCUGUGAACCCUUCGGGGGCCAGCCUUCGAACCCCUGAUUAGUAUUGGGCACGGAGCCCGAGUAGCCUGAGGCGGUCGUUGAACCCUUUCGAGGGGCCGGCCUUCGAACCUCUGACCAGUAGUGGGUGUUGGGCCCACGCGAUCUGAGGCGGCUGUUGAACCCUUCUGGGGGGCCAGCCUUCGAACCUCUGAUCAGUAGGGGGGCUCGGAGCCUGGUUCCUUCUCGGGGAAGGAUCCUUUUCGGGGUAUCCCCCUUUCUCGGUCCCUGUUGCAAGAGAGAGAAAGAGGAAAAACGGAAAAGGAUACGAAAUCGAACGACGCGGCGUACCUUUUUGGACGCGUUCAUUUUGGCGAAGGGGAAGCGUCGCCCGCUUCUCCUGCCAGAGGCGCCGCGUGUCCCGUCGCGGAGUUACUGUGACGGGGCGAGUGGUUGGAGAGGCGACCGUUGCGCAUGCGCGAGCCGUUCGAGGAACGGAUCACGGGCGCGUCGUCUUCACGCCGUGGGAGAGGGUUCUCUCGCUGCCCCCGGAUGGGACGUAAGCUUGGCUGACGACGCGGCCGCUGCGCCUGCUCGCCUGCCACCGCCAUUACUGCCGGCCCACUUCUGGCCAUGUUGACCAUCGCGCCAGGCUGGUGCUGCUGGGUCGCGCGCCGGGUCGCCUCGAGUCGCGGUAUUGGUUCCGCAGUCGAGGAGGUGCGGUGGUGGUGCGGGUGGCGAUGCAGUUACUCACACGUAGCAAACGGCGCACCGGUUGCACGACGCGUGGGCCUGGGCCUCUAUGCUGGGCAUGUUGGGAGUCGGAGGAGCGCGCCCACUUGGCGCGGUUGCAUGCCGCCUGCAUGGCUGCCCACCCUUUCACCCGUUGGUCUGGGCAAAAGUGGAGGGUCGCUUGUAACCGUUGGGCGGUUGUGUGCACCGCGCGUGGCGGUUUGGCUUCUUCUGCCCUGAGUUGGCUUGCAUGACGUGUGGGACCCAGCCCCCGCGCCGUAGGGGAGGACCUUGGAGUGUGUUGGAGAAGACUCAGCCCGUGACGGCUGGGGGCGCGAGUAGGGAGAACCGUCCUUAAAAAGAGGGUGACCCCUUUGGAAGGCGACCAUGUCUUCGCGCUCCCUUAUGCAUCGUGUCUUUCCACCUUCCAGGCCCCCGGAUGGGGGAGAUCCGCCGUCUUUCCGCCUCGUCGUUGGGGGAACGCAACUCCGCGGGAGUUGGUACCUUUCAGCUAUCGUUUGGCUUCAAGGAUUUUCAUCAUGCAGCCCGGCUGCACCCCUCCACCGGUGGUCACCCAAGACGGUGACCACCAGCCCCUGGAUGGAGAGGAGCAAGCUAGGUUGUGGUCUUUGUCCCGCCCCCAGCUGGUCUUCAUCAUCCCCGCUGGGACGGGGCCCGGGCCAAGCCGGUGCUCUGCCUCCUGCGCGGGUCGGCCGACCGCCUCCUCUUCCAGCUUCUGGUGGUGGAGACCAUCCUCCAGUUCUGUGGAGGAGACGUCCUCCAGUCAUGCUGGGGGAGGCGGGCUGUUGUUGCCCAGCUAGGAUGCAACAUUCCAUCCUCUUCCUCGCUUGCGUGGCGAGGACAGGAGUGAGGACCUGCCGAUGCGCCUUGGGGUGACCCGCGUUUGCUGGUGAUUCGCCCAGAGCUUGUCGCUCCACGGGCUUCCCCGUCGUGGGGGUUGUCCAUACCCGCGGGGACGGAACCGGAGUUCCGUUUGUAAUGGCGCCUUGAGUGCUAGUGUUUUUGUUCAUUGUGGCUGUCGGGGCCUGAACAUGUAUGUAGUUUCGGCACGGAGCCGUGUAUUUUCCUCCUUUUCGAGCACUGAAACUCGCCUAUUGGUUGUCUGAACCGCUUCACCAAGCGUGAGUUGCCCCGUGUACAGGUGACGAGUGAGGUAUCCGUAUCCCGGAGGCGUAGGAGUUCCUCGGCUCGGUCGGCCUUGUUGUCCGAGGCUUCUCUAACUUAGUUAAAGGAACCCCUCGGCCGCUCUUCGAUGAGCCGAGGCCGGGGGUAGCGGUGUCAACAUGGGCAGAGGCAGAGUUGUCUUGAAAAGGAAACCUGGUUGGCCGGAGCCUGGCCGGGUCGUCCGUUAGCGGGACCGACGCCGGAAUUGACCAGCCGAGGCCUCGGGUCGGGCUGACGUCCUCGGAGGGAAGCUGGCCGAGGCCCCAGGGUGACCGACCGAGCCGCCUGCUCGGGACGGAUUGACGUCCUUGGAAGGUAACUGGCCGAAGCCCCGGGGCGACCGGCCGAGCCGCCUGCUCAGGCCGGAUUCCCGGAGAAGACCCUAGCGGCGAUGGCCCGGGCGUGGUGAUGACGUCGUCCUCCAGAGUGGAGAUCCUCGGACCGCGUCACCGUCCGAGGCUAGGUCGGCCCUCGCCGAAGGUGUCGUCGAUGCCAAGGGUGCUGCUGCUCCCUUCAGCCGUCAAGAUCCGAGCCUGCAGGAUCGGAUUGUCUUGUAGCGUGUGUUUCCUGCGGCCGCCGAGGCCUGAACACACCCUCGCCGUGUUGUAAAGCUGCGUCUCUUUUCCUUUUAUUUCGAGUAUCUGGACUUUUUUGUUGGUAACAGAAAUGUUUGUGCGAGCAAGAGUUGCUUCUCGCGGAAGGUGACAAGUGAGGUAUCUGUAUCCCGGAGGCGUAGGAGUCCCUCGGCUCGGUCGGCCUUGCCGCUUACGUGCACUCUUACCCGUCCAUGGGGCUCUGUCACCGACGCAGUCGAGAAGGCUCGGAGGAUCGCUUCGGCAUAAGAGCUUUCGGGCGUGAAGACUUGUUCGGUCUGCAGAAUCACUUAUCCGAACGUGAGUUACUUAUCGCAGAAGGUGAUGAGUGAGGUAUCCGUAUCCCGGAGGCGUAGGAGUCCCUCGGCUCGGUCAGCCUUGGCUGCUUACGUGUACUCCGUCGUUUUCAGGAUCCACUUUCGAAGUAGCCAAAAAGCGCGAAAGACAUUCUGGCAGAAAAGAUCUUUUUCCGAGGAAAAUUUCGACGCAGAGGGGGUUCCCCCCCCCUUUUAGCCCCCGAGGGAGGGUCGGGCUUUGCCGAGGCGAAGCCGACCCUUCCUUGAUGACUAAACUUUGCGUGGGUGCGAGGUAUAUGAUCAACUUGAAAAAAUCUUAAGGGUAGAAGCGACGUAGCUGUUGGAUGUUCCAGGCGUUGUCGUAGACCUCGCCUUGGCUGUUGGCCAGCUUGUAUGUUCCGGGCUUCAGAACCUUGGCGAUGACGAAUGGCCCCUCCUAGGGAGGCGCGAGCUUGUGCUGCCCUCGGGCGUCUUGUCGCAGCCGAAGCACCAGGUCGCCCACCUGGAGGUCUCGGGACCGGACCCCUCGGGCGUGGUAGCGUCGCAGGGACUGCUGGUACCGCGCCGAGUGUAGCAAGGCCUGGUCCCGAGCCUCCUCCAGCUGGUUCAGCGAGUUUUCUCGGCUGACUUAGUUGCUUUGGUCGGUGUAGGCCCUCGUCUUCGGGGAGCCGUAUUCUAAGUCUGUGGGCAAGAUGGCUUCGGCCCCAUAGACUAGAAAGAAUGGCGUGAAGCCCGUGGCUCGGCUCGGCGUUGUCCUCAGACUCCAGACCACCGAGGGGAGUUCCUUCAUCCAUCGCUUGCCAAACUUGUUGAGGUCGUUGUAGAUCCAAGGCUUGAGCCCUUGUAGAAUCAUGUCGUUGGCACGCUCCACCUGCCCAUUCGUCAUGGGAUGAGCCACGGCGGCCCAGUCCACCCGGAUGUGGUGAUCCUCGCAGAAGUCCAGGAACUUUCUGCCGGUGAACUGGGUGCCGUUGUCGGUAAUGAUGGAGUUCGGGACCCCGAAGCGAUGGAUGAUGUUGGUGAAGAACGCCACCGCCUGCUCGGACCUGAUGCUGUUCAGGGGUCGAACCUCGAUCCACUUGGAGAAUUUGUCGAUGGCGACCAGCAGGUGCGUGUAGCCCCCGGGUGCCUUCUGCAAGGGGCCGACGAGGUCCAGACCCCACACCGCAAAAGGCCAGGUGAUGGGUAUUGUCUGCAGAGCCUGAGCGGGCAGAUGGGUCUGCCUCGCGUAGAAUUGGCACCCUUCGCAGGUGCGGACGAUUCUGGUAGCGUCGGCCACCACCGUCGGCCAGUAGAAGCCUUGCCGGAAAGCGUUCCCGACAAGGGCUCGAGGCGCUGCAUGAUGGCCGCAAGCCCCCGAGUGUAUCUCUCGCAGGAGUUCCUGACCUUCGGCGAUGGAGAUGCAUCGCUGGAGGAUGCCUGAGGGGCUGCGGUGGUAGAGCUCCUUCUCAUCUCCCAGCAAGACGAACAACUUGGCGCGCCGCGCCACCCGCCGAGCCUCGGCUCGGUCGAGGGACAGCUCUCCUCGGUGGAGAUAUUGCAGGUACGGGGUCUGCCAAUUUUGAUUAGGCGCGACCCCGCUUUUCUCCUCCUCGACGUGCAGUGCCUCACCCUCGGGGGCCGAGGGUACCUCGGACUGAACCGAGGGCGCCUCGGGUCGAGCUGAGGGUGCCUCGGACUGAGCCGAGGGCACCUCGGGUUGAGUCGUGGGCGCCUCGGACUGGGCCGAGGGUACCUCGGGCUCGGACGUGUCGUCGAUCUUGACGGAAGGUUGAUGCAGGUCUCGGGAGAAGAUGUCCGGGGGAACCGUUGUUCGCCCCAAGGCUAUUUUAGCCAGCUCGUCCGCAGUCUCGUUGUAGCGCCGAGCGAUGUGGUUGAGCUCGAGCCCGUAGAACUUGUCUUCCAGGCGCCGAACCUCAUCGCAGUAGGCCUCCAUCUUCAGGUCGCGGCAAUGGGAGUUCUUCAUGACUUGGUCGAUGACGAGCCACGAGUCACCACGAGCAUCGAGGCGUCGGACCCCUAGCUCGAUGGCGAUCCGCAACCCAUUGACCAGGGCCUCAUAUUCGGCCACAUUGUUGGACGCCGGGAAGUGGAGGUGUAGCACGUAGCGUAGAUGCUUUCCGAGGGGUGAGAUGAAGAGUAGGCCUGCGCCGGCUCCUGUCUUCAUCAGCGACCCGUCGAAGAACAUGGUCUAGAGCUCCGGUUGGAUCGGAGCCGUCGGUAGCUGGGUGUCGACCCAUUCAGCCACGAAGUCCGCCAAGACCUGGGACUUAAUGGCUUUCCGAGGAGCGAACGAGAUUGUCUCGCCCAUGAUCUCCACCGCCCACUUUGCAAUCCUACCCGAGGCCUCUCGGCAUUGGAUGAUCUCCCCCAGGGGGAAGGAUGACACCACAGUUACUGGAUGAGACUCGAAGUAGUGUCGCAGCUUCUGUCGCGUUAGGAUCACCGCGUACAGCAGCUUCUGGACUUGUGGGUAGCGGAUCUUGGUUUCGGACAGUACCUCGCUGACGAAGUAGACUAGCCUCUGAACGGGCAGUGCAUGCCCCUCUUCUUGCCUCUCGACCACAAUCGCGGCGCUAACCACCUGGGUGGUCGCAGCGACGUAGACCAGGAGGGCUUCUCCGGCAGCUGGGGGCACCAAGAUAGGCGCCUUUGUGAGGAGCGCCUUCAGGUUCCCGAGGGCUUCCUCGGCCUCAGGGGUCCAAGUGAAGCACUCGUCUUUCCUUAAGAGGCGGUACAGCGGUAGACCUCUUUCGCCGAGGCGUGAGAUGAAACGGCUCAGAGCCGCGAGGCAUCCCAUGACCCUCUGUACGCCUUUCAAGUCCUUGAUGGGCCCCAUGCUGGUAAUGGCUGCGAUUUUUUCCGGGUUGGCUUCGAUGCCCCGCUCGGAGACGAUGAACCCCAACAGCAUGCCUCGGGGCACCCCGAAGACACACUUUUCGGGAUUGAGCUUGACGCCUUUGGCCUUGAGACAUCGGAAUGUCGUUUCAAGGUCGGAAAGGAGGUCAGAGGUUUUCCUCGUCUUGACUACGAUGUCAUCGACGUAGGCCUCGACCGUGCGGCCAAUGUGUUCGCCGAACACAUGGUUCAUGCACCGCUGGUACGUCGCGCCCGCAUUCCUCAAACCGAACGGCAUGGUGACAUAGCAGUACAUGUCGAAGGGUGUGAUGAAAGAAGUCGCGAGCUGAUCGGACUCUUUCAUCUUGAUUUGAUGAUACCCCAAGUAGGCAUCGAGGAAAGACAGGGUUUCGCACCCAGCAGUGGAAUCCACGAUCUGGUCGAUGCGAGGCAGAGGGUAGGGAACCUUCGGACAUGCUUUGUUGAGACCAAUGUAGUCUACACACAUCCGCCAUUUCCCCCCUUUCUCUCUCACAAGCACAGGGUUGGCAAGCCAUUCGGGAUGGAAUACCUCUUUGAUGAACCCUACCGCCAUUAGCUUGUGAAUCUCCUCGCCUAUAGCUCUGCGCUUCUCCUCGUCGAAUCGACGCAGCGGCUGCUUGACGGGUCGGGCUCCGGCUCGGAUGUCCAGCGAGUGCUCGGCGACAUCCCUCGGUACGCCGGGCAUGUCUGAGGGACUCCACGCGAAGACGUCGGCGUUCGCGCGGAGAAAGUCGACGAGCACUGCUUCCUAUUUGGGAUCGAACCCGGAGCCGAUCCGGAUCUGCUUGGAGGUGUCGCCGCUGGGGUCGAGGGGGACGGACUUAACCGUCUCCGCUGGCUCGAAGUUGCCAGCGUGACGCUUCACGUCCGGCACCUCCUUAGAGAGGCUCUCCAGGUCGGCGAUGAGGGCCUCGGACUCGGCGAGGGCCUCGGCGUACACCACGCACUCCACGUCGCAUUCGAACGCGUGUUUGUACGUAGGGCCGACGGUGAUGACCCUGUUGGGGCCCGGCAUCUUGAGCUUCAGGUAGGUGUAGUUGGGGACGGCCAUGAACUUCGCGUAGCAUGGCCUCCCCAGUACCGCGUGGUAGGUUCCUCGGAACUCGACCACCUCGAACGUCAGGGUCUCCCUUCAGAAGUUGGAGGGUGUUCCGAAGCAGACGGGAAGGUCGAGCUGUCCGAGGGGUUGGACGCGCUUCCCGGGGAUGAUCCCAUGGAAGGGCGCAGCGCCUGCCCGGACAGAGGAUAGAUCAACACGCAGGAGCCCGAGGGUCUCGGUGUAGAUGAUGUUGAGGCUGCUGCCUCCGUCCAUGAGGACCUUGGUGAGCCUGACGUCGCCGAUGACGGGGUCGACGACGAGCGGGUAUUUCCCCGGGCUCGGCACAUGGUCGGGGUGGUCGUCUCGGUCGAAGGUGAUGGGCUUGUCGGACCAGUCUAGAUAGACUGGCGCCGCCACCUUGACCGAGCAGACCUCUUGGCGCUCUUGCUUGCGGUGCCGAGCCGAGGCGUUCGCCGCUUGCCCACCAUAGAUCAUGAAGCAGUCGCGGACCUCGGGGAACUCUCCUGCCUGGUGAUCUUCCUUCUUGUCGUCGUCGCGGGCCUUGCCACCCUCCGCGGGUGGCCCGGCCCUGUGGAAGUGGCGCCGAAGCAUGACGCACUCCUUAAGGGUGUGCUUGACCGGUCCCUGGUGAUAGGGGCACGGCUCUUUGAGCAUCUUGUUGAAGAGGUCGGCACCUCCCGGGGGCUUCCGAGGGUUCUUGUACUCGGCGGCGGCGACAAGGUCCGCGUCGGCGGCGUCGCGUUUCACUUGCGACUUCUUCUUGCCCUUCUUCUUGGCGCCGCGCUGAGUUGACGCCUCGGGAGUACCUUCUGAUGGGUGGCCCUGGGGCUGCUUGUCCCUUUGGAAGAUAGCCUCGACCGCCUCCUGGCCGGAGGCGAACUUGGUGGCGAUGUCCAUCAGCUCGCUCGCCCUGGUUGGGGUCUUGCGGCCCAGCUUGCUCACUAGGUCGCGGCAGGUGGUGCCAGCGAGGAACGCGCCGAUGACAUCCGAGUCGGUGAUGUUGGGCAGCUCGGUGCGCUGCUUCGAGAAUCGCCGGAUGUAGUCUCGGAGAGACUCUCCCGGCUGCUGUCGGCAGCUUCGGAGGUCCCAGGAAUUCCCGGGGCGCACAUACGUGCCCUGGAAAUUGACGGCGAAAGCUUGGACUAGGUCAUCCCAGUUGGAGAUCUGCCCCGGAGGCAGGUGCUCCAACCAGGCGCGAGCGGAAUUGGAGAGGAACAGGGGGAGGUUGCGGAUGAUGAGGUUGUCAUCGUCCGUUCCACCUAGCUGGCAGGCCAGACGGUAGUCCGCGAGCCACAGUUCCGGUCUCGUCUCCCCCGAAUACUUCGUGAUAGUAGCCGGGGGUCGGAACCGGGUCGGGAACGGCGCCCGUCGGAUGGCUCGGCUGAAGGCUUGCGGACCGGGUGGUUCGGGCGAGGGACUCCGAUCCUCCCCGCUGUCGUAGCGUCCCCCACGCCUAGGGUGGUAGCCUCGGCGCACCCUCUCGUCGAGGUGGGCCCGUCGGUCGUGGUGGCGGUGCUCGUUGCCGAGGUGACCCGAGGCCGCAGGCGCGGUGUUGCGUGUGCGCCCGGUGUAGACCGAGGCUUCCCGCAUGAAUCGGGAACUCGCGGCAUGAGGUUCCGAGGGGUACCCCUGCCUUCGGGAGGCAGAGCUCUCGGCCCGUCGGACCACGGCGCCUUCCAGGAGAUUCUUGAGUUCUCCCUGGAUUCACCGCCCCUCGGUGGUUGAUGGCUCUAGCAUCGCGCGAAGAAGCAUUGCUGCUGCCGCCAGGUUCUGGCCGACCCCACUGGAUGCGGGUGGUGGCCUGAGCCUGACGUCGUCGGCGAUGCGGUGCUGGAAGCCCUAGGGUAGAUGACGUAUUUCUCCGGCCGGAGGUUGGUCCACCCAUGCCUGCCCGACGUCCCGACGAAUCGGCUCCAGCGCUCCUGCUCCCUCGUCGAGCCUGGCCUGCACCCCGCGGAUUUGCUCGAGCUGUUGGUCAUGACCCCCCGCCUGAACGGGGACCACAGCUAGCUCCCGUGGGAUGUCAAAGCGAGGCACCGGCCUAGGGAGGUCACCGUCCUCCGGCAUACCGAGAUGGCUGCCUUCGGGGGGACCCCCUAGAUCGACGUGGAAGCAUUCGCGACUUGGGCCGCGAUCCUCGUCGCCGAGGCUUCGGCCACCGUCGGAACAGUCGGAAAGGCAGUAGUCGCAUGCGGUCAUGAAGUCCCGCAUGGCACUGGGGUUACCAAGUCCAGAGAAAUCCCAACAGAUGCUGGGUUCGUCGUCUUCCUCGGACCCAGAGGGCCUGUAGGUCGAGACGUCCGUCAGCCGGUCCCAAGGUGACCGCACACGAAACCCCAGAGGGUCUGGAUUUGCUUCUACGAGAGCGCCCGCCAAAGCGAAGUCGCUAGACGGGUUGAGGCUGAACCCAAAAGACGCGGGAUGGGAAUCGAUCGGUACCUUUUGGUCGACGGGCGGCGAUAAGGUCGCGUUGGGGACUGACUGCGCCGCCGUCUCAGGUACGAGGGUGACAUCCAGCAAGCUUUUCGCGAGCGUGCUGGCGUCAUCCGCUUGCUCGGGAUUGGCGUGUCGCGGGGAGAUGGCGCUCGCCUUCGUCUCAAACGCGAGGUCGACGCCUGGUGCGCCCCCCGUUAGGGUGCCGGGACCGUCGACUCGCUCGGCAGCCGACGAGGCGCUGUCUCCUGCUUGGCCUUGGUUGCCCCGCCUCCUCCUCCGUCGACGGGGGAGAGGACGGGGUGAGCUCGAAGGUUGCUCUUCCACCAUGCGGGGAAGACGUCGCCGAUUCCGCCGCCGGCAGGCGGGUUGUCGGCCGCCACUGUUGUUGUCGCACGGCGGUGGAAGGAGUAUCAUGUCGUAGCUGCCGUCGAGGGACAUGAACUCAAGACUCCCGAAACGGAGCACCGUCCCGGGUUGGAGAGGUUGCUGGAGACUGCCCAUCUAGAGCUUGACGGGAAGCUGUUCGUCAACACGCAGCAGGCCCCUACCUGGCGCGCCAACUGUCGGCGUUCCGAGACCGGGGGGUCCCUGGGCCGACGAGUGAAUGUCGCCGCGUGCCCCAGCCCAGAUGGGUCGAGCACGAGGGCGAGCGCGAAGGGGGGAGAGAGAGGCGGCCGGAGACCGGCGUGAGAGAGGUGGGAAUCCCGCGGCCUUCGUGUUCGUCCCGCGCCCAGGUCGGGUGCGCUUGCAGUAGGGGGUUACAAGCGUCCACGCGGGAGAGGGAGCGAGCGGCUCCAGGCGAGCGCUUGUUCUCGUCCUCGUCCCCGCGCGGCCAACCUUCUCUAAGAGGGCCCUGGUCCUCCCUUUUAUAGACGUAAGGAGACGAUCUAGGUGUACAAUGGGGGGGUGUAGCAGGGUGCUACGUGUCUAGCGGAGGUGAGCUAAAGCCCUAGGUACAUGCCGUUGUGGCAGCCGGAGAGAUCUUGGCACCCAGCUGGUGUGAUGUCGUGGCCGUCGAAGGAGCGAUGGAGCUUGGCGGAGGGACAGAUGUCAGAGCGGUUGAGCCCUUGCUGACGUCCUCUUGCUUCCCUAAGGGGGCGGAGAGCCGCCGUCGUCACAGAGCAUGCGGGGUGCCAUCAUUGCCUAUCUGGCGGCGCGAGCCAGAUGGGACGCCGGUCUUGUUCCCUGCGGCCCGAGUCAGCUCGAGGUAGGGUGAUGAUGGCGCCUCCUGUCGACGUGGCUGGUCUACGCCCUAGGUUGGGCGAUGUGGAAGCUCCUCCGAAGCCGAGGUUGAGUCCGAGCCCCCGGGUCGGGCGAGGCGGAGAUCGUCGUCUUCUGGGGCCGAGCCCAAGUCCGAGCCCUAGGUCGGGCGAGGCGGAGAUCGUCGUCUUCUGGGACUUAGCCCGAGUCCGAGCCCUGGGUCGGGCAGAGCGGAGUUCGCCGUCUUCCGGGACUUAGCCCGAGUCCGAGCCCUGGGUCGGGCGGAGUUCGCCGUCUUCCGGGACUUAGCCCGAGUCCGAGCCCUGGGUCGGGCGGAGCGGAGUUCGCCGUCUUCCGAGACUUAGCCCGAGUCCGAGCCCUGGGUCGGGCGGAGUUCACCGUCUUCUGGGACUUAGCCCGAGUCUGAGCCCUGGGUCGGGCGGAGCGGAGUUCGCCGUCUUCCGGGACUUGGCCCGAGUCCGAGCCCUGGGUCGGACGGAGUUCGCCGUCUUCCGGGACUUAGCCCGAGUCCGAGCCCUGGGUCGGGCGGAGUUCGCCGUCUUCCGGGACUUAGCCCGAGUCCGAGCCCUGGGUCGGGCGGAGCGGAGUUCGCCGUCUUCCGGGACUUAGCCCGAGUCCGAGCCCUGGGUCGGGCGAAGCGGAGCUUCCUAUGGUGCCUCCGGCAGGGCCUGACCGCUUGUCAGUCUUACUCUGUCCAGUGGCACUGUAGUCGGUGUGGCGUAGGCGGCGCUGUCCUUUCGUCAGGCCGGUCAGUGGAGCGGCGAAGUGACGGCGGUCACUUCGGCUCUGCCGGCGGGGGGUGCGUGCCAGGAUAAGGGUGUCAGGCCACCUUUGCAUUAAAUGCUCCUGCGACUUGGUCGGUCGGUGCGGCGAUUUGGUCAGGGUUGCUUCUUAGCGAAGGCAGGGCCUCGGGCGAGCCGGGAAUAUGUUCGCCGCUAAAAGGGGGGCCUCGGGCGAGACGGAAAUCCUCCGGGGUCGGCUGCCCUUGUCCGAGGCUAGGCUCGGGUGAGGCGUGAUCGUGUCCCUCGAAUGGACUGAUCCCUGACUUAAUCGCACCCAUCAGGCCUUUGCAGCUUCAUGCUGAUGGGGGUUACCAGCUGAGAAUUAGGAGCCUUGAGGGUACCCCUAAUUAUGGUCCCCGACACGCCCCUUCGUUGGCACUCGGCAAACUAUUCUUUGCCGAGUGUACUCCUAGGACACUCGGCAAAUCAUACUUUUAUUUUUUAUUUUCUCUUCAAACUUUUCUAUUCUCUUUCUACGGUAUAUAAAACUACAUGUUCCAUUUUAUCACAACUAUAAAAGUGUUUGCUAUAACUAUUAGAUUUUGUUCGUUUAAUUGAAUUGACUUGGAUAAUUCAGAUUUGAAUUGCAAGUCACUCGAAAAAUGGAAAACCAUGUAUGAAAAAAUGAUAUUCAUGUUUCUUAGCACCAGUUACGACCUAUUUAACGAGCAGACCAGAAUUUCCGAGAACCAUGCUCACUAAACAUGACCGUGAACUUGUCAUCCAGUUGUUUAAAAAUUGUAUAAAACACAAACAAAGUCAAAAAAUCAUGAAACUUGUCCACAUGUUAUGAUAUCAUAUGUAGAGGCUGUGAUAAAAAUUUGAGAAUGUUUUAAGAAAGUUGUGACGCACUAUAUGUAGAAACCUAAGUCCCCCACACAUGAAAUCAUAGAGUUUCAAUGUAGACCGGCUAGAAUUCUUCACAUAGUGCGUGAUAACUUUCUCGAAACAUGCUCAAAUUUUUAUCAUAACCUCUACAUAUGAUAUCAUGACAUGUGGAUAUGUUUCAUGAUUUUCUAACUUUUUUGUGUUUUAUACAACUGGAUGGUAAGUUCACGGUCAUGUUUAGUGAGCAUGGUGCUCAAAAAUUCUGAUCUACUCCUGAAAUCGGUCGUUACUUGUGCUAACUAACAUGACAAGUUCAUUUUUGCAUUCACGGUUUUCUAUUUUACGAGUGACUUGUAGUUCAAAUCUGAAUUAUCCGAGUAAAUUCAAUUAAAAGAACAAAAUCUAAUAGUUAUAGUAAACACUUUUAUAAUUGUGUCAAAAUGGAACAUGUAUGUCUACAUAGUAUAGGAACAUACCAUAAAAAGUUUGGUUGAAAAAAGAAAAAAAUAAAAUAUACUUUACCGAGUGCCAUCCUAGGACACUUGGCAAAGUAUGGCUUCUGAGUGUCGGGUUUGAGGCACUUGGCAAAGUAGCUUCUUUGUCGAGUGCCAAAUCCCGGCUCUCGGCAAUGAUAAUGGUCGUUAGCUAUAGACGGCUGCUGAUGGCCCUUUGCCGAGCAUCGCCCUUCGCUGAGUGUUUGGCACUCGACAAAGAGGACUUUGCCGAGUGUCUUCCAGUGCUGAGAGUCCUGCUCUCGGUAAACGUGGUCGUUACCGAGAUAGGACUUGGUCGAGUGCCCGAUAAAAAGCACUUGGUAAAGCGCCAAGCACUCGAUAAAAAGCCAGAUUCUAGUCGUGAUUCUUAACUUUGAUAUGUUCACUGGCUUGCAUAACAAGCAAUCUCCACAAUAUCAUAAGAUCCCCUUUUGGCAUGGGCAAAUCUUCUUCAAUGGUCUUUCUGGUAUCCAACAUUGGCUAGAAGAUUAUUAUGUUCGUCUUCAUUUCUUGAGUGUGCAAACAUUGGUCCAUAUUCGUAUCCUUGCUGACCAUCCAUUGAUGUUCCUCCUCCUACCACUGAACCAUUUAAAACCAACACUCCUCCUCCUACUAGUGAAGUUUCUUCCACCGAUAUUUCUCCUCCUCAACCUUUCAAUUAUUCGUACCCUCCUCCAUACUCGUACUUGUAUGGGUAUCCAUAUGAUGCUCCUCCCUCAUUUCCACCUCUAUAUGAUGUUCCUCUAAUAUAUGGUGCUCAUGCUUCUUUUUACCCUUCUAUAGGCACGAUAAUGACCCCAAGCAGCCAUAACGAUGCGACCUCCAACUAGUCCACGUACUCUAGUGUGACUUAGUUCCAAUGACAAAGGGAUUGGACUAAUACGGAGGACAAAAGACUCGUAAGUAGUAAGUACAUAUAUAAUUUUAUAAAUCGGACACAAGUUUUAGGCUGACAACAUUUUUUGACUUCAUAAACUUGUAGAUCCACGCAUGGCUAUUACACUCUAUUGACCCCAUUAAAAUAAACAACAAAAAUGGAUCGAUCUUUUUAUAUAAGCCAAAUAAUAACUAUGUGCAACUCCACCUCAAAACCUCCUCACCAUAAUACCCCCAAGCAACCAAAGCACCAGUGGUCCAUAAGCAACCAUAAGGUCACCCUCUUCAAUGACACCUACAACCAAUUAUCCAUGGCAUGGAUAGUGGAGCAAAUUGUGCUAUGCUUCUCAAAGCGGAAAAGAAGAGCUUCCACAAUAGGCCUGGUGAAACGUAUUUCAACUAGAGCACAUGUGGAGUGCUCUUCACCAGUAGCCCAAGUAGUGCGCAUGGCAUGAUGAUGAUGACGCUAGAGAUGCAACCAAUAGAUCACGUCACAACAUAGAAGUCGAUUAUAGCUCCGCAUAGCUAGACAAUGUCGGACCAAUAUGCCCUAUUGUCCAUGAUAGGGCAAGAGCGCAACACAAAGGGAAGGGUCUAACAAUGAGUAGCAUAGUGAACAAGCUCUACAAGGCUAGCUAGAGGAUAACUCAAUCAAAAUUAUUUGAGAACUUCACCAAGUUAUUAGAUCAGUCAACCAUCGAUAUAGAUGAUGUCUUGAAAAAGACACAUAGGUUGGGUGUAAAAAAAUGACCAAGCAAUUAAAACUAGAUGAGGAAGAAAAUGUGGAAUAGGUGGAGGAGGGUGAUGACGAUGAGUAGUACUAAUGUAUUAUUUUUUACAAACAUGUAUUUUUAUUUUAAAAAAUACAAAUUUAUUUAUUAUUAACUAUUUAAUUUUAUUUUUUAGUUGCAUGAUCCGAUGAUUUUUUCCAACAAAACAUAGUGUAUUGUUUCAAAUACAAAUCUAUAAAAGAAAAGAUGGUGUGGUGUUGACGUGACUAUAGGUUGACAAUAAACUUAAAUAGAAUCUUAUAAUUAAUAAGGGAUCAUAGCACGAUUGAUAGUGUGAUCGAUAGCCGGUGGUUAUAACUGUCAAGUGCAUUAGAUCUAGCCUAGGCCAUAUGGAUUAUGUUAUCGCUAAGCCUCGAUCACUAUUCAUUGUAUGAAAUAUGUUAAAGACUAUGGCAUAUGGUCAAAAGUAUUGAGAUUCUUCAUAUGAAUUCAUGCUAAAAUGCUUUCACAUAUAUAGACAAUUGAUUAUGGAAGAGGUUAUAUUUGUAGGGGUGGGCCCAAUUAUAUUGAACGAUAUUCGAUUGAAUAUCUAGUUUUUUGGCAAGAAAAGUUAUAUAUUUAGUGUAUAUAUGUAUACAUACUGAAAAGAAGAAAAAAAUGAAGAUAAAUAAAUAUCCAAUGAAGAACUGGGUCCAAAAUAGACUUUUCUACUCCUAUCCCCUCCCCAUCCAUGGACUAAAGGCCCAUUUUGGUUGAAGAAUGUAUCAGGCAAAAAGCCAAAAAAAACUUGGCCUCCCCACCCUACCUAUUCGCUCUAUUUCUCAGCCUCACACUUAUGACUGUUGAAAGCAUCUAGGCCCUCAAAAGUUAUGAUGAUUAAUGACAUUAUAAGAUUAUUGUGACUAAUUUGUGUGUUGCAUAGGCAAAUUUGAGUUAGAUCAUAAUGAUGGAGAAUGGUUUAGACAAUGUAUGUUUACUAUGCCCCUACUUAUGAAUUUCGUUAUGAAUCAAUUAGUUCUAAACUUCGAUUGGAGUUGAGACACACUUAGAGUAGUUUGGGACUUUGUUGUUCCUUUUAUCAUACUAUAAAGGGAGUAGUUUAGGACUUCACUUUUCCUUUGAUCGUACUAUAAGGGGAGUAUAAACUAGUAGCUUGAAUAAAUAAGUCUAAUGAGUAUAGUGUGGCAUAAACUAGUUGUUUCUAACUCUAGCUGACUUAGAAGGGGCCAAAAAAAUCAUCAAAACCUAAAACAGUACCUCAUCGAACCAAUGCAUUGGGUCCAAUUGUUUUUGUGAUCAGAUGGAGAGUUCUAGGGGUACGUUGGAUUGGUCCGAUGAUAUGUGUUAGACCGAACAAUGGCACUGUUUCAGCUAUGGUUUUGGCUAUAGGGUCAUCGGGCCCUAUGAACAGUUGCCUCAUUGAAACAAAGAGGAUAAGUAUAACAAGUGCUGCACAAUGACUAGAGAGAUUUUGGUGGGCAUCAUACUAGUCCGACAAUGGGUAUAGGAUCAUACGUCGAAGGCUACGUUUUAAACGACCAGUUCUAACAUGGCAGUACAAUAGUUACCAUUGUGUCUCAUUAGACCCUACAUUCUGGUACGACAAUGAUCAUUGGAUGGUAUGGCGAUGGUGAAUUUAGCCUAACUUGGCAGUAAUGGUUAGUUGGCUGGUUAGGGGCUAUAAAUACCCCAUCAAAUGGCCAGCACACCUACCCUUGCCUUCAUUUAAUAACCAAAGCAACCCAUAUAUUGUGAGAUAAGGAGUCAUUGCAUAGUGGGGGACUUGAGAGUCAGAUUCACAAGUUUAUCAGCCUAAUUAAUGCAAACAAGAGAGAUUAGUGUGCACCCAUUAAUCUCAUCAGUUUUUAGAGACAAGUGAUAAUUUAUGUUUAUUACUCUUGAUGACUAGCAUCACCUAGAUGGUUUGGUGGCACUUGAAGUGCAAUGAUCAUCUAGAGAGAUAGUGGGUGGCCCAACUCAAAAACUAUAUAUGGUUGUGAGCAGUUCACCGUGAUGCAGUGGAAAAGAACUAGCUUGCAGUGAGCACUUAGUCCAUGUGCGAAUCAAGGGUGGGUGAAAACCUUCUGUGGGUGCUCCAAUGAGGAUUAGGGAAGAACGACGACUCUCUGUGACAUCAGAACGAACUUGAGGAAUCUUCUAAAUUCUUGCAUUACUUUCCACAAUUAUGUUUGUACAAAUUUACAUUCUUCUUAGAUUUGCCAUGAUGCAUAGUGUUGAAAUUAAGGCACAAUUUUUUUAUAUAGAUUAGACACUUGGGUGAAGCUAAGAUUAUAAUUAGGAUAUGCAUAUGUAUUGUGAUGAAAAAAUGAAGAUCAAUAAACAUCUAGUGACAAAUUAAAAUUUAAAUAGAUUUUUCUACUCCCCUCCCCACCCGGAGAAAUCCACAGCCACCCUUCCCCACCUAUUCACUCUCUUUCUCGGCCCCUCUCGUGAUUGCAACUAAAAAGCUCGUGAUUGGCAACACCACAAGCCCACUACUUAUCCCCCUUUAGAAUUAAACACCAAUGAGGAAGAUAUUAAAUUAAAGAAAUAGGGAUGGCCAAUUCUUGUGACCCUAUAAAAUUUUCCUCCUUCCAAAUGAAAUCUCCCCCUUUGUUAUAAGAAUUUGUUCACAAUAAUUUGACCCUUGCAAUAAAUAGACUAAGUUGAUCCUAUAUGUAUGCAUAAAUAUGAUGAAUAGAAAACCAUAUGCAUAACAUAGUAAUGAAUUGAAAACAUGUGGGAGUUUAACCUAUACGAAGAAAGCAAGAAAGAGAUACUAAAUAAUCUUGAAACCAAUAUGCAUGGUGUUUGGGGUCUGCUUCGUCGCCGAAGGUCCUGUGAGAUGAAGCACCUUCGGAAGGUCAGAAGAAGAAUAAUGUCGAAGCUACCAAUCAGGAAGCUUCGUAGUAUAAUUCAAAAUGCACCGACUUAAAGAUGAGAUGACCAAUCGGCCCAUGAUAAACUGUGUAAAAAUUGUAAUCAUUUAUAGAGGACAUGAAUGUAAAUUCACACAGGAUGCGUCCUAUGCCUAUAAAUAGGUGAACAGUACCCCAUACUGUUCAAACUUUUUCGCAUCACAUCUAUAUCUUCGUAUUCGAUCAAGCUCAAGGUACAAAUGUAAUUUAGUUUAACUUUCAUGUAUUCUUGAUUAUUUAACAAUAAAUGUUCAUAUUUCAAUAUUAUGUAAUUAUUUAUGUUGUUGUCUUAUGUUUCAUAACCUUCAUCCUUUAAUUAUACAUGUCGUGUUUAUGAAGGUAUGUCCUUCAUAACCUUCGUCUGAAGAUCAUUAUAUUCUAAGGGAAAUAAUGCUUAGAAGGACGAAGGACAUUAACAUUUAAUAUUUUUCUGGUGUGUUGCCUUGUUCUUAAUUCAUAGCAUUUGAGAACAAGUCUCCAACACAUGGUAUUAAAGUCGAUAUAUGUAUGGUACCUACUGCUGUAGAAAUCUUGAAACACAAAGAAUGUUACUUGAUAAACUUGUUUGAUUUCACACCCUUGAAGAGAACGAAAAACACUCUACAUAAUGUUGAUGUAUGGAACGUAUAAACAAACAUAAUUCGCGGGGUAAUUAGCUAAACUUGACGACUAGUAGUGUGGGUUGACGGCGAAGCACUUCUCCCUGAUCUCUCCCUCGUCGCCGGUGAGCACCUGGACCUUGCCCAUCUUAACCAUGGCCUUGGCGAACUUGACCUGCCAUGCCUUCUCGACUGCGGCGUUGAAGUGGACCAUUCCGGCAGUCCAUGGGUUUUCGAGCAGUGUGUUGUCGGAGAUGAACAGGACCUUGUGCGCCAGCACGUUCUUGUAGUACUGGUUGUCGAAGGUCGCCGACGUGACUGGGUCAAGCGGCACCACCGUGGGGUCCAUCUGGUCGUUGCUGGACGGCCAUGGGCAGCGCAUCUUGAGGUGCUCAGCGUAGGCAGGGUCGAGGGACGGGUCCGUCCGCCCCAGCUGCCCGCUGAAGUUGUAGAGGCGCUCCGUGAACGAGGAGCAGUGGGAGCGCCCGAUGGUGUGCGCGCCAGAGAGCGUGACCAUGUCGUCGGCGUUGAGCCCCUUGCGCUUGAAGCUCUCGAUGAGCUCGUCGACCUCGUCAGUCGGGGCAGGGACAUUGUUGUCGAGCACCUCAUCCUCUUUGGACACGCGGCCGUCACGGCGGCCAGACGGGACCUUGUAGUCCAGGCCGCCGGCGAGGUAGGCGCUGUCACGGGCCGCGAACGCGACGAUGUCGGCGCAGGAGACGGUGCGCGGGCAGUGCGCCUCGAGGACGGCCUUGGCGUCGUCGACGACGUCGAAGCCACGCAUGCUGGGGUUGUUGGCCACGGAGUCCUUCUCGGCCUUGUUGUCCGGCGUGG
This 47182-nucleotide long non-coding RNA is filed under the name Zea mays. Its description in RNAcentral is "long non-coding RNA (ZMAY_LNC000443)". Lineage: Eukaryota; Viridiplantae; Streptophyta; Magnoliopsida; Poales; Poaceae. The record is from RNAcentral.